This 55069-nucleotide long non-coding RNA is filed under the name Linum usitatissimum (flax). RNAcentral describes it as "long non-coding RNA (LUSI_LNC004996)". The stretch from base 53837 to 53908 matches the Rfam family "tRNA". The record is from RNAcentral. Lineage: Eukaryota; Viridiplantae; Streptophyta; Magnoliopsida; Malpighiales; Linaceae.
CAAAAUCCAAAAAAUCUUAUCCACUAAUUAAUUAAGAUAGGACACCAAAUAGGACUAAACCAUCAAAUGAAGGGUAAAUCAGGGAGCACAAGAUACACACUGAUCAGUGCCAUUACAUUCAUUAGUCAAAGGCAAAAAAAGGUACAAACAAAGAUAAGAACAACACAAAACCCUAAUAGAAAAGGGUCCCUAACUCUCAUCAAAUUAGCUUAAUACAUAUUAUUUAACCCUUUAUAAUUAUUUUUCGCCGAAAAGAAACAUAAAACACUACACAUACAGCAGAAAACUGAUAUUAGAGAGCUUUAGAAGGGUCAAAAGGGAGAUCAUAGGGGGCUUCUAAUUAAGGAGUUAUUACUGUAAUUAAAAACCUAAUCAUUAUCAAUUCAUUUUUUUCAAUCAACUGAUUAGGAUUACUAGCUUUUGAUUAGUCCCCCCCCCCCCUCCCUUAGUUAGUACUUUCACUUGGCUUGAUUCUUGAUCACGUCGAACCCCAUUUCAGUCGGGUCGGUCGCUUGAAGCUCGUAAUGGAUCCCAUCCAAUGCUCCCUUCACUCCGAUCUUCGAUGUCGCGUACAUCAUCUUUGCUCUGAUCCUCGACGCAGCCGGUGCCCUAUCCCAAUUCAAAAAAAAUCGAUGAGAUUAAUGACCCAAAGUUAACAAAAUAAUAUUGUACUGACUUGAUCGUUUACCCACAGUUUAAAUUUGAAAAUUCAAUACGUUAUAAUUGUGUAAUCAGUAACCUAAACAAUAACCCAAUAUCUCCGUAAAUAAGAUAAUCCCAUAUAAUCUGCCCAAAUUUGUUAGAAAUUAAUUUGAAAAAGUAAAUAAAUAACCUAGUAAUAAAUUUUAUCAGGAUUUUCCAUGUGAUUACUCUGAGUAACUGACGAACCGGAGACCAAACCUGUGGCGCCAACGGUAAUGAUGCUACAAUUGUACAGACCGGCUUGAUGAUCGGUUGAACCGGUCAAACCGAUGAUAGGAGAAACGAAUAAACAAGUAAAGUGAAGCCAAAAAGGAAAAAGGAAACACAUAAAAGUAAAUCGGAAAAGCCAAAAGGAAUAAUAUUUUCCAAGGAAGCAACCGAUCGCGACUAAUUAACGGAAAACGACGUCGGACGGUCGGGGAGAGAGAGAGAGAGACGGACCAGGCAAUGAAGAAGAUCUUGCUCUUGUGGCAGUUGUCGACGGUGACGAAGUCGAAAUCAAAGACGGCGUAGCGGCAGUCGUCGUCGGGCAAGGAGGCGGCGAGGUCGUCGUAGCUCUCCCCCGGGCCGCCAACCUUGUCGACGGCGACUAGGCCGGUCUUCUCGUCGAUCUUGAAGACUAUGUAGCGGUGGGACUUCUUCCACUUCAUCGCCAUGAACGAGUUCCUGCACUCGUCGCUCACCCACAUCCCGCUCGCCGCCUGCAAUAAAAAAAAAUUGAAUUCGAAUUCAACUCGCAAAACGCAUGGGGAAAUUUUGAAAUUGAAAUCGAAGGAAUCGGAUUGAUCGGACAAUAUGAAAUAGCUGGAUUAUGAACAGUACCAUUUUGAAAGCCAUCGCCAUUGAUGAUUGACGAAGGAGUAAAUUAUAUUUUUAUUUUUUUCGGUAGAAAUUAGGAGGGAAGAGGCGAAUGGAGAGUGAUCACUGUGGUGAUAAGAUCGAGUGUGUGUGCUGUAAUUCUAUUUCGACUUCUUGGCGUUUAUAUAAACGUUUUGUUUCCAAUUUGCCCAGGGGAAGUUGUGUUAUUUUACAUGAUUGCCACUCUCAUGAUUAGUACAAUUGUACAUGAAAAUGGAAGUCUGAAGUUAUAUAGUUAAGAGUUUAACACUAUUAUUUCUACCAGAUAUUGAUGUUUUUUUUUACCACAAAUAGUAAAUACUACUAUUUAUUUUUCUAUGGGUGUCCAUGCUUUUUCAUUUUAGGGAGGAAAAUUAUAUUCGAGCAGAAAAGAAAAGGAAAAUGAUAAUUAAUUAAAAAGUAUAAGUAAUUCCAUUUUCAUCAUUUAGGCGGUUUAAUAGAAAACUGUUUGAAAUUUGACUUGUCAGAUUCGCUAUGAAGCUCCCCAAAUGUAAUCCUCGUGGAGUCAAUAAAUAAGUGGACUGAAUAUGAAAAGAUAAGGGUCAUGUAGAUUAAAUAGAGAACCGAAAAACAAACGAAUAAUGCUGCAAAUAUCGUAAAAUUUGCGAAUAGUUUCCGUCCAUUAUUCCUAUCAUUGUACCAAUCCUUAAACUCCAUACUACCACACUCCUUUCUAACACAAUUAAUUCGCAAAUCUCAUCCAUAAAAUACCCUACCUCCAUCCUCUUUCGUGAGGCACCUCACGAAAAGAUGUUCAUUGAUGGGAUUUGAAGGAGUUAGAUCGUAAUAUAGAAUACAAUUUCUUGCGAUAAUUUGUUUAUUAAUUCAUGCUACAUAUUAAUAAAAACUUAAUUACUCAUGCUAGUGAUGGGAAUUUCAAUUCAUACCAAAUUUUUGGAAACAUGCAUUUACUCAUAGGUAAUACUGAAACUUGAAUUUAGAAGCUUGUCAAAGUCCGAAGUGAUAUAGUAUGGCUAUUAUUUACUUUUACUAUGGUGUCAAGAGACUUUUGUUAUUAUCUCGAAUGGCCUAGUGAAGUGUUGUUACAGGUAAAGUUGCACAGAGUUCAAUGCUCCGUUACAAAUGUUAGUCUUGCUAUUUAUAGCACUUUGGGGGUCAACGACGACAAUAAGACAUAUUGACCUUUCAAUCGAUAACCUAAAUAUGAAUCAAUUGCACUCUAUGAUUGAUUCUGAUGGUGGGAAUUCUACCCCUCGAAACCCCAGGACACCAUGUAGGUCCUCGGAUCCAGCUUCGCCGACCGGAGAGGAUGAGCUAUUUGGUCUUACCGGUAUCAAUAACCUUAAUUACUUAAAGUUUUGGUAAUGAACAUCCAUUCAUUUGAGUAAUUAAAUGUUAUAAUUGGGCAGAGCUAGAUCCGAGACCUUGGAUUAAUGAAAAGUGAAAAAAAUACACAGAUUUCAUAGUCUUUGUUUGUCCAAAGUUGUGCAGGAUCUCCUGUUGACGGCUCUUUUAGGGCAAAAAUUGGCAACAAAUUCUAGGUUCAUUCUGAAACCGUGGCUCCACGUUACAAUUGUCUGUUCAAAAACUGGUCCCAUUUUGGUAUCUGAUCAUCACACCAUGAAAACUCUCAAUUCUUUUUUACCCAAUUUGAUCAAAUUCUCAUCAGUCUCUUUGCGUCCAAGCAAAGCAGCCAGUGAAGCAGAAGAAUGUGAGAAGAAGAUGAAGCAGUAAGAGCUGUGUGAAUAGGUAAUUUGAGGUUUUCGGUUCGAAUCCAGUCACCCUUCAUAAUAGACACCUUCAUCUCAAAGAGAGAUCUGCUUGGCGCUUCCGGUGGGGUUAGAUUUGACAAGUGGAGGAGAUGCGAAGUUGGUGCUUUAUAGGCUACUAUGCCAGAGUACUCGGUAGGUGACAUGUUGCAUAGACGUCAUCGUAGAAGUCUUUGAUUUCCUGGCCGCUUGUCCUUCCUUGUAUCUGCAGGUAAUGGAGCUAUCUAAUGAGUGAUGAGACACAGCCUUUUCAUAUCUCAUGGGCUCCACGAUUCGGAUCGACUUUGAUUCCUCUCGUCGAAAGCUAUCUAUGCAAUGAAUACCUAUAAUAACGACUCACGAAUAUACUCGUUUGGUGCUGAUGAUUGAAGUCGAAAAUAUAUUCAUUAUGGAUCAAGAUCAUGUUGGGAUAACAAGUUAACAAUCUAAGUACCACAUUGGUAUACUAGUAGCAGAGUUCCGUUCCUAAAGCGGAUAAUAUUAUACUAGUGUUGUACUGUUUGUGGCAGAACGAUUCUAAUAGAUCAUGGGUUUAAGGGGGAGCUGAUCCCAUAAGAUCAGGGUUAAAGCUCCUUUCUCUGACUGAUGGGAGGUGAAUGGAAUGAAUCGAGGCACCCCCCAAUUCUGGAAUAUGCAUGCCGUGUAUGAACAUACGAUCAAUUAGCAGACACUAUGCAAUGAGGUUUGGAGAAUCCCAACAAGUUUGUCUAAUGAAGUUAAGUGUCGACAACCUAACAUUCUGUUCAUGAUCAAAAUCCCUAUUAAGAUAUUGGAUUAGCAUUAUCUUUAUGCAUAUCAUAGUCCUAUUCACGUGACUGUUAUGGAAGAAAAUGAAAUGGAUGGAAAUAAUGUUAGAGCCAAAACAAACGCUAGGAUCUGAAUGAACACCGCAAUCAGCAAUAGAAAUGGAGCUGCAUUAGCAGACAUUCAUACCUCCCAUUCAUGUGAUUCUUAUGGGGUGGGACAACCCUACAUGGGACCCAACUAAUUUGUUCCUUCAACCUUGUAAAAUAGCAUGAUACUCAUUUUCUUCAAACUAACUGUCGUCGUGGUAGAUAUAUAUCUCUUGACCACUUUCGAAAUGUGUUCAAAGUUAUGAGACUAUUGUUUCGCAAUCUUAUCUUGGCUGACAUGUGCUCUCUUUGUUUGGGGAAUCGAAAGAUGGAAUAAGCCAACCAAAACUGGAUCAUAUAGGAUUUUUAAGUUACAGCGAUUUAUCGAACCAUCUAAUUGUGGUCAACGUGCUCUCAAUUUACAACUAGGUGAAACUAGAUCUAGAAAUGUUAUGAUGCUAUAAUUUCAUUCUACUAAUUAAAGAUGUGCCAUCAGACUGUUCCAACUUCAAUCGACUAUAUCGAUUUUUGGUAUCGGCAACUAGGGUGAUGAUUGAACAUGUUUAGUAGACUUUUAGACCCUCUUAAGUCUCUUUAUGAAUGGCAGCUUCUUGGUGGAACUAUACUCGAAUGCUUGGUGAAUGCAUCAAUCAUGAACUCCAUGAACCCUUUUGAGGGGAAAGAAGUGGCUAGAGUUUUACAAUUUGGGCAAAAUCUGAAGGUCCAAUAAUUGCCACAGCUGGGAUGUAAAUCCUUGGGGAUUAGUUUCAUGUUGCGUCCAUCUUUUCCAUGGAAGCAGGCUACUGUUAAUGUUAGGUGGCUAAGUAACUCUGCUUUUGGCUGCAUCUCCAUUGGCUCUACAUUAAGCUAUCAUAAUCAUGACCACUGAAGGUUUCAACUUCAAACAACUUGAUCAAGGUUUCAUAUCCAUAAACAUUACUCAAUUCACGGGGAAAACCCCGUCAAUUAAUCAUGUUCUAAAUUGAAGUUUAGCUACCAGUAAACAAAAUACAAUCCAGCCAGCAGCAGGCAAGACACAGAUGUAGAAGGCCUUUGCUUUGUAGAUAGAACAAGCAGCAGCAGCAGCAGGCCGCGUAGAAUCGAGCACGUCUUUUGUUCACUUCUCGUCGUCUUUUGCUGACUUGUCUUCAUCCUUCUUCUGAUCAGACUAGUCAUUGUGAUGGGGGAAAAACAGGAACCAUAUGUCAGAAUCAUUUGAGAGGAACGUUUAAUAGAGUUAUGAAUUUGGUCAGGGGAAGAAGUUCUGGUACCAACCUCGGAUUUUCCAUGCAAAGAUGCAAGCAGUUCUUUAACAGAAGGGUCGUUGGGGUCAACACCAGGAAGCUUUAAAGGAACCAGUUCUUAAUUAGUACAGAGGGGAGAAUGUGCAAUUUUUAGCAUAUGCAUUAUGAAAGGUUUUUUAGUAUACAUACUGAGGCCAGGACAGACGACACGAAGGCUUGGUCUUCUAGUACCUCACUCUCAUCCAUUCGGUUUGACGAAUCCUUUUCACCCUCCUGCAUGGACAUCUGAAGGGCUGCAGGCAACAACGUAGGCAAUUUAAACAAUGCAGGAUCUUAUCAACUCUAAACAAGGAGACAGUCCAAAUACGAAUAGGAGUAUCAAAAGCAUUGACGCAAAAGAUAAGAUUACAACUCACCAGCAGCCAAGUCCUGGUCUGCAUUGGUUGCAUCUGACAUAUCAGUGUCUCGCACAGACGAGUCAGAUCCAGGAGUUUGCAUAGACAAGGCAAUGGCUUGCUGCAGCAAUGCAUCCACCUCACUCUGUUCAGACAUCAUCAUUCACAAAGACAAGCUCAAGUUACUAUUUAGGUGAUCAAGAUGACAGAUAAAUCUAUUAAUUGAAUAACUAAUAACCAAACAAGUGGCGCAAAGAUGGAACCAAUCAAAAGCCUGUUCAGAAUUAAAAAACACACCAUUGGCUCAGUAGAAUCAGCGGCUCCAGCUGUAGCUGUAGCACUGUUGGCCAUUGUUGUAUCCUGUGACAUGGACGAUUCUCCAUCUCCUUUUUCCUGUGUUGAAGCUUCCUCAGCAGCCUUUUUAGCCGCAGCUUCUUGCCUUGCCCUCUCCUCUUCCAUAGAAACUCUAAGGGCAAGGGCCAGCUCAGGAUCGAUGUUGGGAUCUACACCAAAAUCGUAGUCACCACCAGCUGCUGGCCCAGCUGGUACAAAUCCAGCUCCCCCUUCUCCAUCUCCCGUAAACACAGGAGUGCUGCCAAGUAAAAAAUGAACUAGAUAUAAUUCAAGUGCUUAGAAGAAUAGUUCCUAUGGUUACUAGUUAUCUAAUAGGCUCCCAUAUAUCACUAUGAGCCUUGUCAUUGAGAAAACAUCAUUCAACCAUGUCGGCACGUGCUGGUUAUUGUCCCAUUAGGCAAAUUAACAUGGGAAGUAAGUACAUCUGUUCAUUGUGAGAGUCCAGAUCCAUGUGAUUGAGUUUGUAGAGAGUACAAAAAUCAACUAUCAGUAAUUCUGAAAGAACAUCAUUUAGAGCAUGUUUAUCAUUAAAGCUGUAAGAACAUUAUAAAACAGUAUGCUAUUUUGUCCACCAUGGCUCAUCGCCAUAUCAAAAGCUGCUCAAUACCUGGAAGCAACUCAAUCGAUUCCAAUAAAAUCUCGAUCAAGUAUAUGAUCUAGUCCGUAUACUGAAACCUAAAUCGUCUACUUUUUAGUAUUCUAUUCUAGGCUGUGUCAAAUGCAUGUGAACAUCGUAUUUGAAACUGAAGACAUAAGACAUACCUGAUAAGUACAUCAGAGAGCGCAUUCGGCCCAGGAGGAAUGUGAACUAUAUGACUGCUGUCAUUGUUAUUGACAGCUGCGAGGAGGGCCUCCAAUUUCUCUGGCUUUCCAUCAUCUUCCUCACCAAAAUCCACAAUAUCGAGAGAGACACUACUCUUCUUCAAUUUCUUUCCUAUGGACUCAAGCACCUUCUUAUCGUAUUUGAUCGGACUGCAAAAAGAACAGACUUGAUUUCAGAUAUAAGUACAGCAGAAGAGAAACCCCCCAUAUGAAACAGAUAACCUCACCUUCCAGCAAAAACUAUGAUUCUUUGUCGCUGAUUCUUGUUCUGACGAUGCUUAAGAGCCAGUUGGGCAAUCUGAACCGCAGACGUUAUGUUCAUUUCACCCCCUAUAUCAAGACCUGUACACAAAUUUGGAUAUGAAGAACAUUAGGAAUGUAGAUAUUAAGGUAAGCAAGCGAAUGCAACAGAAUACCCUAUGGUGUCACUGCAAUCUGUCUUCCAUAGUCAGUGACCGCAUUCUCAAUUAUAAGACUUCAAACUUCAAAAAAAAAAUCGGAGGUGUUGGUGGGGAUGAAACCUCCAAGUUAUAGCUUGCACAUUCAUACAUUAAGGACAUCUUUCAUUCGCUGUCUGAGUUACAAGAACCCUUCUAUUGAACCUCUUAACAACAAACUUGAGUACUUUUCAGAUACAAAAUUAAACUGACAUAGUUCCCCAAAACCUCCAAUCCUAAAUGACACUAACCCAACAUAUGAGAACUUAACCUAAGUCUACAAAUCCACAUUGCGAAGCUUACCAUGCAUACAAGCCAGGAGUUUUCCGAGAUCAGUAGUGGGUGUAGUCAACACACGCACUCCUUUACCAGCCAUCGUCAGAAUCCCUACUGUAUUCUCCGGAUUAGACUGCAAGGUAUUUUUAUAAAUUAACCGCCAUUCAACCGACCAGAGAAAAUCACAUCAGCCUAGCCACCAGAAACCCUAAAAUCACACUUUUUCCAUGAACAAACCUGAGUCUUCGCCCCGCAGAUUAGACUGACGGCAUCCGCUUGAGCUUGGAAACGAGAAGGACUGUAAUCCCCGUUCCUCAUCCAUUCCGAAUUGUCAAUGCAGAUCAUAGUCGCCUAACAAACGAGAUCAAAUCGUAAGGGGAAAAGCCACGAAAACUUAACCAUUCUAUCGCGAUUCAAGUGAAGACUACUUGGGACGGAAACCAGCUAGAGAUAAACUAGCGAAAAAUAGGGUUCAGCCGCCGGGAACUUACCUCGAGAACCAUUGUCGUUGCCGGAGAAAAUAGUUCUUUGGCGGCCGAUUACGAGAAACUGUGAGAGUUCAGAUGUUGAGGAAUCGAAAAUAGAGAGAUUUCUUGCUCGAAGGGACAGCGGCACUCGUUUAUUUAAUUUUCUUUUUUCUUCUUUAUUUAUAUAUAUAUGAUCUUUUUCCUUUUCUUUUUGUAUUCGGAAAUUUCCUCUCAAUUUUUAAAACUAAAAAUCCAUAUGAUCUAACAUUAUGAAUUUCGAUUUAAAAAUAUAAAAUUGAUGAUAUCCUUCACAUUCACUAGUCUGUGACUAAUAUCUCACAGUUGUAACAAAAAUUGAAGUCUGAAUAUCAAUUAUUUUAGGCAUGAUUUUAUCAUAUUCUCAACCCUCAAUCAAUAUUAACUUUGUCAUCUAGUUAGUUUUAAAGUGACGUCGGUACGAAUUGCGAUAUAUUGUUUGCCUGAACCGAUAUUUAAACUUGAAUUUGAGUCAUUUCUUUCAAACAAAAUCAUAAAGUCACAGAAAUGAACACAAAGAAAGUUUGAGUGAAAUGAGAAAGAUCGAACACAAAAAAUGUCUGAGUGAAAUGAGAAAGACUGAACGCAACGAAAAUUUGAGUGAAAUGAGAAAAAUUGAACACAAAGAAAGUUUGAGUGAAAUGAAAAAAACUAAACACAAAGAAUGUUUGAGUGAAAUGAGAAAGUCUGAGUGAAAUGAGAAAGACUGAACAGAAAGAAAGUCUGAGUGAAAUGAGAAAGAUUAGACAGAAUGAAAAUUUUAGUAGGAUGAGAAAGAAUGAUGCAAUGAAGAUGAUUUAUAUACACAUGAACAUUUACUUUUUGAGUAAAGAGGUGAAACAUGAGUCAGUUGUGUUGUUCGAAAUUGGAAUAGUAAAGUGGUGUAUGUUGCGACAAAGACUGAAGAUAUUAGAUGGACUGUGAACAUUGCUGAAGGCAGAGCUAUCUUGUCUUGUUUAAGCAUAGCCAUUGAACAUAGUAGAUUGGAGCCAUUGAUUGUUGAUUCGGAUUGCAAAAACUUGGUAAAACUGCUUUCCAAAGAAACUAUUUGCAGGUCUGAAAUGAGCAGCAUUUAUGGAUAUAUAUUGGAGCUAGGUUGAAACAGCCUAAUAUGCCAUAACAAAUUCAACAAGAUGAUAUUAUGCCAGUCUUGGCUAAUGAAGGUGUCAAUUAAUAUUUGCAACAAGUACUCGAAUCUUGAAUUUGAAUCCUAACUUCAUGAAUCUUUCUCAUCCAAUUCUUACUAUUUUUAUCCUCUCAAAAGAAAAAUGAAAAUGCAUCUGUAUUUAUCAAUCCACCAUGCUUUCGUUUCUUUAUGUUUCUUAUGAAGAAGAAAGAUUUCAAAAAAUUGUACAAUGCAAACAUCAAAGCCAAAAGGGUAUAUAUUCACAACUCCCCGUUACAUAAACCUUAACAACCUAUGUUCUAACUCAUCAUACAACUGCAGAAGUUCUAGGACUCAAACUUGGCCUAUUGUUCCUACUGAUGGGCAAAUGCACAUACACCUCAUGAACAUCUGACUUAUACACUUCACCUCUAUCUCUAUCUAUCGCGUAACACAUGUAAAUGGUGUCAAUCACAUUGUCCAGCACAUGUACAAGGAACCCCAACACCACGAUCAACAACGCCCAUGCCAGGAUCGCCACAUAGUACGAGUCAGUCCCGAGAUUCGUGGCACCCUUAAGUAUAGCACAGACCUGCACAUAUUGUACAUGCAUAACACAUUCACACCGUUAAACAGUCAUUGACACAGCAACAAAGGGCAGAUAAAGACGAAAUUCCUCACCGCGAUCGCGUAUACAGCUGAGAGAACGAACGUGAUACCACCUAAUAUGCGAGUGGAGAUAACCUCCACGAAGACGGCGGAGAGGAGGUUGCGCUUUAGGACUUCGUAGGCCAUGCGUGCGGAAGUGCAGUAGGAUUCGCCAGUAAUCGCGACAAAGUUGAUGGUGAACUUGUUGAGAAAUUCAAUUGCAGAGAGGAGGGCGUUGACACAAGUCCGCAGUAUAAGAUUCACAAUGCCGGUGCUGUCUUCUCGUUUUGCACUGUCGACAGCUACUCGUACCAUGCGUACAAUAAAGAUAAGUAAGCCUGAGAGACAUAUGGUGCCGGAGGAGGGGCCGAAGGCAUUCCUACAAGAGUUGAGACACGUCAAUGAAAUGACCCUAAAGGGAAAAUAAAUUUUGCAGAUAAGUAUAAUAGAAAACACUCUUAGCUGGAAUGAUGGCAAGAGUUCAAUAGUGACGAGGUCAGAUAGAGUCGUAUGGAUGACAAAUAAUAAUGAAGAACGAGGCGCUGCAGAAAGCUUCAUUAAAAGAUGAGCAAGGAAUCGCUGUAGAAUUUGUAAGCUUGCUGCUCAUAUCUACCGACUAUCAAACACGCUAAGACAUUACUCUAAGCGGUAAUAAUACUUCUCACAGCUCUACUAACCGAGUAGUUAAGUUCGAUCUGUAUUCUGGAAAACUCAGCUCAAAUUCAUAUGCAAGUAAAAGCAGAAGUAAUGCAUCCACAGAAGACAAACAAGUUACACGUUUGGACUGUCAAGAAAACUCAUUUACCUUCCCUUAACAUGCAAUCUUUUUACUUUCCAUAUGCAAUACUACGUACGAUUAGCUUCGAAAACAAGCUAGGGUCAAGCUCAAACAACAUGUUCAAUAAGAAUCUCCCACCCAGUUAUACCUUUUGAAACAGAGAAUCCAAAUUCACUACUUCUUGAACAAGAACCUGACUUUAUACUACUUUCAUUAUCCAUCUAGCACGCAACGUAUAAACUUCACCUGAGAGAAGUUCUUAUGCCACGUUUAGGCGGCGAAUCCCCCUUAGAAAAGUACCACUGACCAAUUGUCCCACUGAUCACAUAAACCUGAGCCUCCACCAUGGCCGCAGACGACCACAACAAAGUAACAAUGGCCAAAGUAUAGUAAGCAGGGACCCAACUAUCUUCCUUCCAGCCACAAUGAAACUCUCCAUGCAACUCCUUAGGCACUAUCUUCCCAUUAAACCUCGCAAACACUAAGAACACCACAAUGGGGACAUAGUAAACCGCCAAUCCAAAUGUCAACAACGGCAAUGCAACGAACAGCCCCAAAUUCUUGUACAGUGCAUCAGAAGCAACCCCAAUUAUGUCUAUAGUCAGCUCGACUCUGUACCAAUUCGCCACCAGAAUCCACACGAGCAUACCGAUCACCACAAAAAUUAGAGCCAUGACAAAAAUCCUGUAACCCAGAGGCAGAGCAUCGCUGCAGGAAGAGCUGACAGUGCAGGCGACGAACCAGUAGACGUUGAAGAAGAUUGGGACGAUGAUGAAGAACGGGAGAGAAGCGUAGACAAGGUAUUUUGUGUAAUGCCUGAGAGAGAAAAGGAGGAGAAAACUGAUAGGUCCGCUCAGGAUCACUGUUGCUACGAUUGCCCAUAUCAGACCGUCGACGAACCCGCGGGAUUCGCCCAAGUUGACGAGGAAGUAGUAGAAAUUGACUGCAGGGGAUGAAGAAGAAGAGUUUGGUGAGGUGGGUACGCAGGAGGAGGAUUGGGAAUCGAAGGUGAAGGAGGAGAGGUUGCCGUAAUUGGGAUUUUUAUGGGCGAUCGAGAAGAUUCCGACGCCGAAAGUUGAGAGGAGGAAGAGGAGGAAAAGGAUCAGGAAAGUGAUGUCCUUGAACUGCCUCGGUCCGGAAUUGUACGAGAUCUGGAGGAACUGGGUCGGGUCGGAUUCGGGUGAAAACGGGUCGGAAGUGGUGGGUUCGUCGAUCGGCGGCUUAAAGAGGAGCGGGUGAGUUGGGGAAGAGGAGAAUGAAGAGGAUGCGACUCUCUUGUUGUCUGGUUCGUCGGUGUUACUUCCCAUUGAAGGGAUUUAGACUGGCGGCGGAGGCGAUCGGCAGUAGUUUGAGCUGAAACAGAGACUGAUGAAAUCCUUCUACGGAGUAGGUUGACUGAGCGGGCGGAUUCGGGGUCGAUGGAAUAGGAAAAAUGGAAAGUGGAGAGGAGGCGGCGGAUGCAGCUAAGCUCAAUUUUGCUGGAAAAUGAAAAUAAAAUAAUAAAAUUGGUUCUUGUCGACUGUGUCUGGUUUCUGCUUGUGACUUUGUCGUUGUAUUUCUGUCAGCGCCACGAUACCCAGAUUUGGAAACCUUAACAUCUUCCAACCAGAAGAAAACAUAACUACAAUGCCAGCUCAUUCUUCAUCUCGUUCUGAAGAGUGAAGUAAAACUAGGAUGCGAGCUUGGAGAUUCCAAGUUCGAAAUCUCGAAAAUCGCACUACCUACUCCUGUAGCACAUCUGAUCUGCUUAAACAAAUACCCGGUUUGAAAACUGAAGUUCAACAGCUUCGGAGUUAACCUCGCUGCAGCGUAACAAAGACUGGCAGGAGCCAAGGUCUUGAUGUCAUGUGAACAUAGCACAUGGCCAGAUGGUCUUACAAAGGAAGAAACAUUCAUUCCAUUAAGAAGCCACUGAUAAAAAGUUUAUAUUAAUCACAAAUGUCAACUACAUACAUAGUUAAACAAAAAUAAAGGUACAUUAUCUAAGUAAGAAGGGGUGUCUAGACUUUAGAUUAUAUUGAAUAAUUAGUGAGGGAAUUUGAUGAUACAAAGAGUGAAGCAAUAAUUGAAUAAGGUACAAAAUUUGACUUUUCCCUGGGUUUGGUUUCUGUUGUUCUCAUCUUUCCUCGUCCCACUUGUCUUUUGGUAUUUCUCCAGAGUCGGCAAUAACAACUUUCUUCCUGGGUUUCCCACUAUAAGUUCCUGCUCCACCUUCAAUUGCAUAUACAUAAUCCAUCCCCUGAAUCACCUUCCCAAACACAACAUGCUCCCCAUCCAACCUAUAAGGACAGAACACAUCAAGGAGGGUUCCAAUAUAAGCCUAUUUUGCUACUGGGGAAUGCAACGAUUCGAGAGCCAAAAGAGACUAAGCUUACCAGCUGGAUUUGAUGGUGGUGAUGAAAAACUGGGAGCCAUUUGAAUCUGGGCCUGAAUUUACCAUGGAAACAACACCUGCAAGAAUUCGGAUAGAGUGCUUGGGUUAAGAACUUGUGUCAAGAGACAGACUUGACAGUAAAGUAAGCAGCGAUGAAUGUUUAAUCUUGACCUGCGUGCGCGUGUUUGAUCUUGAAAUUUUCGUCGGGAAAUGUUUUGCCAUAGAUGGAAUCGCUUCCCUUGCCAUCUCCGUGGACUAUGUCACCGCCCUGGAUCACGAAGCCGGAUACAAUACGGUGGAGUGGUGUCCCUUUGUAGUGGAGAGGUUUUCCACUUGUACCCUCGCCUUUCUCGCCUGCAAUUGAAUAUAAGUAAGGUUGCCAGCAUAUCAAAAGCGACUGUAAGUAAAGGUGAUAACUUGAUGAGAUAGGGAGGAAAGUGGUAGGUACGAACUCUCAUUGGUACCUGUACACAAUGCCCUGAAGUUUUCUGCAAACACAGAAACACCAAGCUUAGAAUAUGAAACCAAAACAUGAACACAUGCUGUAGAGAUCCCUGUGCAUUUACACAUGAAGUGGCAGCUAAUAAAAGUUCCAAUGAUUCGCCCGAAUUUCAGCAUGUUGCAGAGGUAAACAAUUUAGUAAGUGAACAAAAUAGGAGAUAUUGUUUCCUCAGGUAGGAUAUCAAACACAUACCUACAGUUUUCGGUACAACCUGACCGUAUAAUCCAAUAACGAUCCUACCUGCAUAAAUCGAGUAGCACUAGUCUUAAUAAUGGCAACGGGUUAGUGAAGUAAAGAAAUCGAAGAGCUAAAAUGUUGAGGAAAGACUUAUAUCUUAGGUAAUCUCUCUUUUCAGAAAGAAAUGUCACACAAAAGAGUUUAGCACUUCAUAGAGUUUAGCACAUAAGAAAGAUCAGUACCUAAACGUUGUUCCUCGAUAUCAAUAUCCAAGUAUACUCUAUGAGUGAUCUCAUAUUCUACUUGUGAGCUAUCAUCAGCCUGCACGACAGUUUAAAGUAAUAGGUUAAUGUUUUGGUCAUAGUAGACUAAAAGUUAAAACAGCCGAAGAACACAAUCAAGAGGAAAAUGGUGAAACUCACUAUACAAAAAUUACACAAGCCAAAAAACACUUCAAACUGUCACAUCAAUGAAACAUAUGAGCUACAGUUCAAGUGUCCCAGGAACACUGAAAGCUAAACAACUGACUAGAUCUAACAGUUAACUUAAUAGUACACAAGACAAGACAGACUGCACGACAGUGGCAGCAGCAAACCUCUGGGAAUUAACCUCAAGUUCGCAUAGAAGAAUGCCCACUUCAGGCAUAAGGCUCGAAGAUCUCAUUCUCAAAUCUCAAUCAACAUAAGUCUUAGUUAUAUUUGACAACAAUGCUAACUAGAAGGGUUCAUCUCAAAUACACAUGACUUGCUUUAGAAUACCUCAUUCUCAAAUCUCAAGCGACGUACUUCUUAGUUGAUAACAAUGCUAGCUAGAAAACACUAAUCAGCAUUCAAUCCUAAGGAGUAUGCACAAGGUCCGGAACCUAUCAUAUCGUCUACCGAAUCCCCUCCUGGGACAGCACACCACUGUCUCUUUCAAAUUGCAAUGCCAAAUCCACAUGAUAUUACCAUCAACUACUAAAUGACCAGUUAAUGAUUUCACACUCAAACUACAGACUUGAGCAUCCCUUUGUGAAGUUCAACAUCCUAACCAUUAACCCAUACACUAACUACUCCCAGAAGCAAUCAACAAGCAUAGGCUGAAAUCUGAGGAUCAUAUACUUUUCAGACCAAUUUCAAAGCCAUUGUACACUGAAGAAGCAUAACAAACAAAAGCACAUAACAAUGAAGCGGGCCAAGAGAUAACAGUGGAACAAGAAUGUCAAGAAAACUACACAGCUGAAUUCACUCCUAAUCUAUAUGUUUUAUCAGACCUAAAUUUCCAUAGUUCACUAAUUUCCCCCAACUUACGAACAGAACCCGCAUCUAAACUAAAGAAACCCAGAUCAUAAAAACAGAAACCAAACAAAACCCAACUAUAAUGAUUAAUGAAAUCAUCACACACCAGAUCCGAUCCCGAAACAAAAUCUCACCUUGUGAGGGUUAUAGAAAGCGAAAACGAACACAAUCAGAACAAGAGUGAAGAGGAUGAGGUAUUUGGGAUGAACCAGCAUCUCUCGACGCAUCUCGCUCUCAGCCUAUGUCUCCCGUCUCCCAAAUGGGGUUUCUACGCCGCUCCUUGAUGUCGACUUAUUACGGAGUUGUUCUUGCCCAUUAACAAAGCGGAAAAAAGGAUGGGAAAAGAACCCAAAUUCCCUUGGCAGAUGGAUUUUGAUUUUCUCUCCCUCCUUAAUUGCAGGUUCUUAGUCUGACUGGUGGAGCUGAGAAUAGUUGGAGUUUGGCAGAUGAAAUGGCAGAGCAUGUGGGAUUAUGGAGAACGUGGGUGUUUGCCGAGAAAAAGAAGAGACGGUGAAGGCUCGGAUCGAGAGACGAUGGGAGUAGUUGAACGGCAAGAAAUAUUAUUAAUUACCGCGUUAAAUUGAUUUCUGAAUUUCCAUUUUACUGCCGUUUUCCCCAUUUCAAUGCCCAAAAAAUGCCAAUUAGGAAAGAGAAACAGAACAAAUAUUCAUAAAAAAGUUACCAAUUGGUCGUAUUCAUAAAAAAUAUUACCACUUAGUUUUCAUCAAAAAGUAUUAGUAAUUGCUCAAUGUUGGAUUGAUAAUUGAAUAUUGACGUAGAAUUAUGUAUUAGCUAUCCGAAAAUUUCGUAUUCAAAUCUAAUACAUCUUACAAAAUAAAUACGUUAUAAUAUUAUUUAUGUUUUCUAUCAUUUAAAACUUAAAGAAUCCUUUCAUCUCCGCUUGAAUCGUUGUGGACUUUGAAUCUCUGCUUGAAUUGUGGUGGACUUGAAUUUCUUCUUUAUCCUAUAGAGGAAGGAAGGAAGAAGCAAGCAAGCAAACUCGGCAGGAAUAAUGGGCUAGCUGGCCAACGGGCUUCUCAAAAUGGGCUUAUGGCCCGCAGUAUUGAGCUUUUGCAUUACUGGAUACUGAUGCUCGGGCCUCGGCCAAUAAGAGCCACACCUGGAUAUUGAUUAUUGAACGCAGCUUAUUAUAGUCUGGAAUGAUUAAUAAAGUAAAAAGUUCGGUCCUUACUCAUAAAAAUAAAAUAUAUCAUAUGUCCAGUUAUUUAUGAUUUUCUACAAGCACCCGUAAUCAAAGAAUUAAUUAUUGUUAUCAGCAAUAAACAUCACAAUUACAUCCACGUAAAAAAAUAGUCUGGAAGUUAUAGGACUUAAAAAAAAUUUCCUCCUAAUGAGAGGGUUACCUUACAUUUUAAGGGUUUUCUAUGAAACAUCAGCUAGGGUUACAAAUCAGCAUCGCCCCUUACCCACCGCUCAUCAGUGCAGACAUCAUUAACAAUGGAGGCUCGUCUGAACGCGCUUUCACUAACGGAGGCUGAAGAACAGAUCGAGUUCAUUGAUGGACUUGAACCACGACAACCGGCGACGAUCGAGGACUUGACGCUCUGCGUUGUUGGCAAGUUUCUGACGGAAUGAGAUUUCAACUUUGAGAUUGUGAAGGAGAGGAUGGCAGAAUUGUGGAGUCCGAAGCGGAGGAUAAACCACAGGAAGUAGCGUUAACACACGUGGAUUUUGGGAUCGUGGUGUAUGACCUCCAACCUGGCUACUUCGCAGUUGGGAGUUUUGUGAAGUAUGACCAUCUCCGUUAUUAUGAUUGUGAGAUGGCGGUGAUGUAUAUUUCAAGCGAUUCUAGAUACACAUCAACCACUCAAUCGAGAGAAGAAGAUUCAACUUCCAGGCAACAAGGUGAUUACUUGUCGAUUUAAGUAUGAAAAAUUACCUAACUAUUGUUUCAUUUGUGGUGUACUCGGCCAUAUUGAAUGUACUAGUGAUAUCAAGUUUGAUAAUCCGGAUGGAGACGUCCCUAAGCCGCGGGAUGUGAAGUUGAGGGCUCCACCGAGACUAUCACUACAGCCACAUGCUGGCAGCCGCUCUCUUCUGGCGGGAGGUGUGGUGGGCGCACGGGGGUCUNNNNNNNNNNNNNNNNNNNNNNNNNNNNNNNNNNNNNNNNNNNNNNNCCCCCCCCCCUCUCUUCCGCAGCCGCUAUCUUCUGGAGGAAGGUGUGGCGGCCACUCGGGGUCAACCAGGGAGUGGUAUAGUCGGGGCAUAUCGAAUAAAUAAUAGUACCAUGCACAUUAUGUUUUAAGGAAUGCAUAAAAAGAUAUGAAAGGAAAACAAAUUUAAAGAGGAAAAUUGAAGAUGAGAUAAGGGAGAUGAAUAAUGAUUGGUGAACGGAGAUAGAAAAAGAAUUAAUAGAAAAUGUUAAAAGUGUUAUAUGUCAAUUUAUUUUAAAUAUUAUAUAUUUUUAGACUUUUAGACGACGAUGGAAAGACCGAACCACUCGACUCGAGUUCAUUGCAUUGAAAAUAAAGGAGUAAUAAUUUGUGUAAAAAUUCGUUAAUGCCGUCGAAAACAUAAAAAUAUUUAUAAAAUCAAUUGAAGGGGCAGAACAUAUAGGAAUCGAAAGGCUGGAACCCAAGAAUGGCAUCUCUACGAUACGACGGUUGUUCGAUUUGAGUUUGAAAAAAAAGAACCCAGUCUUAACUGUAAUGGAAUCAAAAUCAAACGAAAUUGAUCGGAUCUCAACACAUGACCAAACACAGAAAGAGUGACAGGCUAGCUGGGCUUGGGAAUCAAACAAAACUAAAGCUUGAUAGCUUUCGUACGUACGUACAGCUCUUUCUUCUGGAUUGCAGCAUGUGAUGAUUGGUCAUUCUGAAAGAGAUAACGCCUCCAAGUUAUCACAUCACCAAAGAUAAGGACGUUGGGAGAAAUAAACCGACCCCAACAAUAUAUAUCUGUCGAUAAACACAGCUAUUUAUUUAUUUAUUUUUGUCAAUAUCUCUGACCAAUCUUCCCCCUCGUCAUCUCAUAUCAUCUCAUAUCUCCCCAACUUGUGUGUCGCUACGUGUACGUAUUUUCCGCGAGAUAAUUAUACGUUAUACGUUAAUUUUUUCCAAUUUUCUUAUAUGUAUGACGAGUACCUUUACGGAUUUAUUUUUGAAUAAUAACUUAUUAGAAGAUUUAUUUAUUUCUAUAGUACUCCCACCUCAACAUAUUUAACAUUAGAAUUCUUACAAAUUACUCGCUCUGAAUUACACCAUGUCGAUUAAUGUCAAAUUAUUCUUUACAAUUCAUACAUGAAUUUCUUUCUUACUUUAUCGAUGUGAAUUUUACAUAAAGUAUUACAUCUUAACUCCUAUAACUAAGCUAAAAAAUCCAAAUUGACCAGUCUCUAGCAUUCUUACAAAUUAGAAUGUAAAUACAAUUAGUCAAUACGUAAUCACCAAGGAUCUCAAUUAUGUUCAUGUAGGAAUUCAAAACGGUUUGAUGUAUUUGAUAGUAUNNNNNNNNNNNNNNNNNNNNNNNNNNNNNNNNNNNNNNNNNNNNNNNNNNNNNNNNNNNNNNNNNNNNNNNNNNNNNNNNNNNNNNNNNNNNNNNNNNNNNNNNNNNNNNNNNNNNNNNAAUAUAUUUUUAAAUCUUUUCUUUUAUUAAUUUAUCUUUAUAAAAUAAAUUAUACUUAACGUUGAUUCAAUAUGCCUAUGUGUAUUGCUAUCAAAUAUUUUAAUUUAGAAAUUUUCAAUAAAACUUUUUAAUUAAUAAUUACUUAAACAUUUUUAAAAUUUGUUAAAAAAAUAUCACCUCACUUUAAUAAUUGUUAAAAAUUGAAAAUGAAAAUGCUUAAUCUUGUUUUCUCGAAAAUUAUAAUUUGUUUUUAAUAUUUAGUGUUCAUAGAAAUUUUUGUAAUAGUUGAAUAGAAAGUAAAUCUAAAUCAACCACACAUGUAUUCUUGAGACUUUAGUGUAUACGAGAUAAAGAUGAGUGAAUAGAAUAAUAGUAUAUAUUUACAAAGAAAAUACCGUAUAUUCCGUACCGUAUACAUGUAGAUACCUUAUGAGGCGUGAAAAAGGCCACGUGAACACACCUUAGCACCCAAAAAUGACACGUCAUUAUCAGGGUGAUAAAAAUUGACCAACAGAGGACCGUACGUGUCGCUUUCUUGGCAAAUACUCUUCCUCCAAUCCACAUCCUUCAUUUCCUUUAUUCUAAUCCACUUGCCAUUUAAAUAUAAAUAAAUGAUAAUGACAAGCAGAGAAGUCUUUACCAGUAGGCCACCCAGGGCAAGUGGUUUGUAGCAUUGCUUUACUACUGUUGCUUCACUUGAUUAGUUAAUUAAUUGAUUAGUCUGUCCACAGUUUCUAAGCACAUUAUUUACUGUGGAUUCCCAAGUCGUUGAUUCAGGGAAAACCCAACUCGUUGAAGUUUUAGCCGCCCUUCUUAAUACUUAAUUGGGGGUUGUUGUUGUUGUUCAUGGUAAAUUACACUGACAUAAGUAUUGGACUUUUGUUUUAGGGUUGGAUCAAAAUAAAGUUCGAAAACCGAAGAUGAGUCGAGAUGUCAUCAUUUGAUAUUGGUCACAUUGUCCAAACUUGUCUAAAAUAGAAACAAAUCCAAUUAAAUAUUACAGAGGCAAGGUUCUUAACAUCCAAAUCAAUUCAUAAAGUCUUAUAAAAUUCAAAAUUUUUACUUUCAAUUUUUUGAUACGUCGGGAGGAUGAAGGUGUUCACUAACACACUAAUAUUAUAAGCAAAUUUAAUGAGUUGAUAAUUUAUUCAUAUUAUAAAGAAAACAAUUAUAUAAUAAAUUAUCUUACUAGUAUUAAACAAAACAUACAUGUAAUUUUAUACACUUUUUUAUAAAAUUUAUUAAUGAUCUAUUAAUCACAAUACAAUGCUCCACCUAAGACCUCCUACCCAUAAAGUAGACAAAAUUCAUCCCAUCCAAAUUUACAAAACCUUGUUAUACAAAAUUCGAAUCAUUCCGGAACUUUGUUCAACAUAGUAAGUAUGAUCAAACACAUGUUACCAUAUAAUCUCAACAAAUAUGGAAAGAUUUUAUAAGAUGACAUUUUAGUUGAUAGGAAAAUAAUCGUCAUAUCAUAUCAACUAGUAAAACCCAAGUGGUGAUUAAUAAAUUAAAAACCCAAUUAACUAAUAACUAAUAGCAAACAAGCAAACCUUCACCGGUUCUCCGUAACUCAAACCGUCAAACCGAGUAAACGUGAAACAAACACGCACUCUGUUUUUCUCCUUUCCGAAGCAAAAAACAGAGCACACGUAAAACAAACACCAACACGUUUUCUUCUUCUUCUUCCUCUUCUUCUUCUUCCUAUAAAUAAUUAACUCCUCCACUCUCGUUUCUUCAUUCUCAAUCCUCAUCUUCCUUCCAAAAUUUUCAAAUCCAAUGGGACUGAUAACCACCGGCAAAUCCUCCAUGACACCGUCCGCCGACACCCUCAAAUGGCUCGGCCUAGUCACAGCAAUCUGGGUCCAAGCAAUCUCCGGCAACAACUACACCUUCGCCAACUACUCCCACUCCCUCAAGUCCCUAAUGAACCUCAACCAGCUCCAGCUCAACAACCUAUCCGUCGCCAAGGACGUCGGCAAGGCCUUCGGUCUCCUCGCCGGACUCGCCUCCGACCGCUUCCCGACCUGGCUCCUCCUCCUCAUCGGCUCAAUCGAAGGCCUCAUCGGCUACGGCGUCCAAUGGCUGGUCGUCAGCCAGAGAAUAUCCCCAAUCCCUUACUGGCAGAUGUGCGUCUUCCUCUGCCUCGGCGGGAACUCGACCACCUGGAUGAACACAUCCGUCCUCGUCACCUGCAUCCGUAACUUCCGCAGAAACCGCGGCCCGGUUUCCGGGAUUUUGAAAGGAUUCGUCGGGUUGAGCACUGCCAUCUUCACUGACCUCUGCACCGCUUUCUUCUCCGAAGAUCCCGGAACUUUUUUGCUCAUGCUUGCGCUCGUUCCUUUCGGAGUCUGUUUGGCUGCGAUCUUCUUCCUCCGUGAGCUCCCCCCGGCGAACACUCUCGCUGAGGAGAAGGAAGAGGCCAAGUACUUCUCAGCAUUCAAUGUCGUCGCAGUCGUCGUCGCCGUCUUCCUUUUAGCGUACGAUUUCACCCCCAAUCCUUCUCGAUUCGUCUCUGUAGGGUUCGGAUUCACUCUCUUAGCACUCCUCGCAUCUCCGAUUGCGGUUCCGAUUCAUAAAUUCGUUAAAGGAAUCAAGAUCGCUGCUCUGAACAAGGCCGACAUUGAGCGGAAUCAGGUCGGAGUCGAGGAGCCGCUUCUAAUUGACGAACAAAAUUCCGAAUCUGCUGCGGUUGCGGCGGUGACGGCGGAGGAUGUGGAGGCGGAGGAGGAGGAGAAGAGGAAGCCGGUGAUCGGAGAAGAGCACACGAUAGUGGAGGCGUUGAGUACGGUGGAUUUCUGGAUUCUGUUUGUUUCGUUUCUCUGCGGCGUUGGUACUGGUUUGGCGGUGAUGAACAAUACGGGGCAAAUUGGGUUGGCUCUUGGAUACGUCGACGUUUCGAUCUUCGUCUCGCUGACCAGCAUUUUCGGUUUCUUUGGGCGGAUCGUCUCCGGAUCGGUCUCGGAGUACUUUGUCAAGUGAGUUCAUAUUCACAUUACACUAUAAUAUCACAUUCCUCCUUUUUUUUUUAAUUAUGCUGCUUAAUUAUGAGUUUGAUUACGAAUUUUAAUUAGUGUAGUGGGGGGCCGUUAAGAUCUAAGUUUUAAUAUUUUAAUUGAUCGUGGUCUGGUUAGUUGUUUCCUAGGAAAUUGGAGUUUUGUUUAGUUUAAAUACUUUUUAGAGUUGUCCUAAUUUGAUAUUAUUGCUUUGUUAAAGGACCAAAGUUUGGUACUUUAGUGAGCUUUAAUGGUCAAUAGCUUUUGCUUUGCUUUAAUCGACAAUGUUAAUAUGUAUUUUUGUUCUGACUUUUCCACUUUUGUAAAUUGUUGAUUUUUGUCUAAUUUAUAAUAUUUGGGGUUAGUUUUUACUGACUUUUCUACUAAAGAUAUGUAAUGUGUACCAUCAUUUUCAACUUGCCUUUGUCUUGCCGGUGAUACUGAAAAGAUUUUUCAUAACUUUUUAUAAUUUAUUGAUUUUUUAUGUCCACUCCAUACCCAUUUCCCACUGAUGGAAUUAAUUCAGUCUGAUGGAAUUUGACAAUUCAUGUCUCUGUUCUUUUUGGCUGAUUAUUAAUUAAUAUGGUCCGUGCGUGCUUAACAGUAACUGUAACAGUAUUCUUUGGGGGCAUUAGUUAGGGCCAGAUUUGAUUUAUAACCGAUGGGCCCAUUUCUUGCUACCCACAAGUAUCUGAUCUAGAGAAAUAUCCAUUCAUUUCUACUUAACCCCAAAACUCGAUUAAGAGAAUCGAGUAGUUGACUACUUAGCUAGUCUGUUGAAUUAUAAAUAAUGGAUAAGCUCUAACACACUUGAAUUACUUUUAGUGAUUUGUUUCGAUACAUUAUACAAUGAGUAUCUGAUCGGUUCAACCAGUUGGAUCGAUUGAUAAGGUAGAAUAUCCGUUUCAUGGUGGCUUCGCUUGUCUUUCAAUUCAUUCAAUUGUUUGAAGAUAACUCUGACUACAAAAAUCAAAUCUUGUUUCGGAUCAUUUUCCACCAGUGGGGUCAAACUUCUCCCUUUUAAAAAAGGCCCGCAUUUAACUCGAGCCAAACCAGGGGGGCCGAACCGACUCGGCUCUUGGUACAUUUGAUGAGCCAAUUAGUGGGUACGUGGUCCACGAUCCAGGACCAGAUCGAUGUAACCAUUUUGGAUGGAUACCUAUCCUGCAAGUCAAAUGCUAGCAUACAAAUAAAACUGUACUAAUUAUUUACGUCCAUCGACCUCUUGCAGGAAAUCAGGAACACCAAGGCCACUAUGGAACGCAGCCUCACAAAUACUGAUGGCAGUAGGAUACAUCCUCCUCGCCCUGGCCUUGCCCGGAUCACUCUACGUGGGCUCGAUCGUCGUCGGAAUCUGCUACGGCGUGCGAUUGGCCGUUUCGGUUCCGACAGCUUCAGAACUCUUUGGACUCAAGUACUACGGCCUGAUCUACAACAUUCUGAUCCUCAAUCUCCCUCUAGGCUCCUUUCUAUUCUCUGGCCUGCUGGCGGGACUUCUGUACGACGCGGAGGCUACUCCGGUCCCCGGAGGAGGGAACACUUGCGUCGGUGCGCAUUGCUACAGGAUGGUGUUCAUUGUCAUGGCGGGUGCUUGCAUUGUUGGGUUUGCUCUUGAUGUGUUGCUGGCUGUUAGGACCAAGGCGGUUUAUAACAGGAUUUACUCGAGUAGGAAGUCGAGGAAGAUCGGUAGCUAGUUUUCGGUACGAUUCGAGAACGAUUCGGGGGGUUUAUAAGUUGUGGUUUGUGGCAAAGGGCAUGGUUACUAUAUAUUGAUAGGUGGUAUAGUGUCCUAAUGCGCCAAAUUCCACGUUUGAUUCUUUUUAGUAGGUACGUAAGAAUGUUGUGUAGUUAAGUUGGUUGUUUAUUUUUUGGUGUGAUUUCGGUGUACGGUGGUAUUUUUAUUUCCUUUGGUUGAGAUUUUGUUCUCAGGCAAUUAAGUGUAGCUAAGGUUGUGAUUCUAAUCCCAUGGAAGUUGUCUUCUUAUACCGAUACAUGGUUCAAUUGCGUUUGUUUUCUAACUACCAAGAGAAACAAUGUUACGAGCAUCUUUGAUGUGAGUUAUAUUAAAAACUUGUUAUUCGACAUAUUUGUGUUUCGGAGAGUAUAUUUGAUAUAUGUGAUAUUAAUUAAAAGUUAAUUAUUCCAAAUAUUUAUGUUUUGGAACCCAUAUAAUUAAUUAUGCGGUAAAUAUAUUUUAAUGUUCUCAAUUCAUAUCUUAUGUUUUCAAAACUGUAUCGGACAUUGUAUUAAAAAAUUUAAUGGUAGGAGGUUUGAUAGUUUAACCACAAAUUUAUAUCAGUUAAACUGUUUAUAUUAUAAAUUAAUAACAAAAUAUCAUACUGAAUAAAUUAGUAAUCAAACCCAUUAAAUAUCCGAAAAUCUCUAUAAUAUAAUUACUUAAAUUCAUUUUAAAUUUCCUAUCUUUGAAUAACUAAAAUCAAACUUAAGCCUAUAAAUUAUUUAUUCUAAUUCUUCAAUAUCUUCAUCGACUUUUAUCUCUCCCUCUUCUCUAGUCCCCUCCUUCAUCGUUUUUUCUUUCUCACUAUCACCACUUCAACCACCAUCAUCUCCAUCGUCCUCUAACCCUUGUCUCCAAACUUUAUUGCUCAGCUCCCCCAUCCUUCUAAUAAAUAGUCAUCAUCAUCCUCUCAAAAUUGGAAUUGACUGAAACGGCCACGGAGAGACAGAUCCGUGAUUAGGACGACCGCCAAGGAGAACCCAACCGCUGGGGACGGCCGCGGAGAACCAAAUGGUCGACGCCGGCAACGGAAAACCAGAUCUGCUCCAUCGUUGUUUUAUUUCAGAACCAAAUCGCGGUUUGAUUAUAACCGGACGGUCUGACCGCGAUAGAACGAUUCAACCGUUAAAGACAGAAAAACACCGAUGAAGAUACUCUCGUAAAUGGUCCCUUUACGUCAUCUAUUUGAGACACUCUAAACGCAUGCAAGUUUGAAGCGCACUGGAGACUUGAGUACGCAGUUGCUAGCUAACUGAUGGUCCUGCAUGCUGUGCUGUGCUGUGUGCCGUAGGAGUAAAGUCCACUCUUCCCCGACAUCAUCUUUUUUUUUUUUACAUACUCCUCCUUGCCUAUACUUGCACCUUCACAACUCCACCUCUGCAUAAUGCUAUCGCAUUUCCAAUUUCGACCCUCGUGAUGUGUUGGGUACGUACUAUACCGUCAAUUGCGAAAGGAGUUCAUCGCUCAUAUAUAAGUGUGAGGAAUGAGGAUAAACAUCUCCAAUAUCGAGUUACUGAAUGGAUAAAGCUCGAUAUAGCACCCAACGGUACGUCGACAUACAUAUGGUUAGAUCACAACUUUCAGUAGCCUUGAUGAGUUACUAGGCGUAAAGAUGGAACCACACGAUAUCUUGAAUACAAAGCAUAACUCUUCUUAAUCGUACUAUUUAGUACAUGACUUUUGGUUCUAUUGUUUGUUGUUAGUUGGUUCAGUGACUGCGUGUUGGUUUAUUAGGAGUCAUAGAUUUGAUAAUCACAAAAUCACAUGUUAACUUUUGGUGUGUUCAUAAGUUACAUGGUUCAAUAGUUAGAUGUUGGUUGGGUUAGUGAUUAGAUACACUGUUGUAUAUAUUGUAAUAUUAAAUUAAGUGAUUGAUUAUAAAUAUUUAUAUUUCUUUGGUUUAUCAAUAUUAAACUUUAUAAUUAGAUUUUUAAAAGAUAUAAAUUGGAUGUGCCGUGUCAAACCGAAUAAAAUGCUAGUGGUAAUAAUAUAGGGCAAUUAUAAUAUUACUCUCCUAAUUAAUAUGGCUCGUAUACAUAUGGUAAUAUAAUAAUAUCACUCUCCUAAUUAAUAUGGUUAUAAUAGAGAUGGUAAUUAUAUAGGGCUGAUUGGCAUAUAUAAUGACAACUAAAAAAAGAGCAUCUGUUAGCUCACUGACAAGAAGAAGAAUUUCAGGUUGUCCAAUUAAAUAACUCAAAUUAAAUAUGCUUUUAUUGAUAUUGACAAAAGCAAUUAAUAUCAUACCCGUUCAGGAACUAGAGCAUUCAUUGGCCGGAUGUAAAAGAACGCAGACGGGUCGGGUCAGAGUUUCACAUGAAUCAUCUCCCUUCCCUUCCACACGGAGAUUUUAGUAUAAGAACAUCAUGUGACUCCUCUCGCCAUACACCCUGCAAACAAAACCAAGUGUUCAAAUAUCAAACUCUCUUCUUCCCCCACCAUUCUCUGGGGAUUUUGUUCAUUGCAGUCAUGGCUUCUUCUCUUAUGGGCUCCAUCUCUCUUCUCCUCUGUUUCUCCUUCGCCUCUGCCUUUGGUAAAAUUUAAAAGAACUCUCUCCGUUCUGGAUGUUUUCUUCAGAACGCAGAAUCGGUUUUCAUGGUUUAAUGUUGUUUUGUUUGUUUGUGAGUUUGUUUCAGAUGGGCCUCUGUACGAUCAUACAGCUUACAUUGAGGUAACCCAUUACUUGUACUGCUGAAUCAGGAAGUGGGUUUGGACCAUUGUUUUGAAUUUGUCUGUGGGCUAGGUGAAAGUCAGCUUCUUUGACUUGUUCCUCAUGGUUUUUUUUAUCGGUUGUGCAGUGCCAAGGGACGCCGGAACAGCCGCUAUACGGCGGAGGGAUUCUCAAGCACCGGCGGCCAGUACAGUGGAAGGACAAUGGAGAUUCCUCGCCGGCUUUUGUUUUGAGUAAUAUUACUCAAGGCUCCUUUUACUCUUUCUCAGGUUUGCUUCAGUGGAGAUUGGAUUGUUCAAAGUUUGUGCCUUGCAAACAUUGUAAACUUUGUUAUGGGAAUUAAACAAUAACAGUAUGGGUGAAGGUAAAAGCUGGAAAACCAACAACUGUGACAGCAAGACUAAAGACAGACGAGGCUACAUACGGCUGCAUAGGUAGUGUUUUGGCAAAGAAGAACUGCUGGUCUUUUCUCAAAGGUGGAUUCGUCCUCGAAGAAGAACCCUCAGCUUCCACCAUUCUGUAUCUCCAGGUUAUAACCAAACUCGAAUCCGCUUCAACUUCUGAAACUUUGCAUUAUCAACAACUCAGUUCUCUAAUGGAUUUUGUUAAUGGUUACAGAGUCCAUCACAGAAGAGCCUUGCGGUUUCGAUCACGAGCGGGUCAUUACAGCCAUUUACAUCAGAGGAAUGGACGGCUAAUCAGCAGAACAUUAUAGACACUGUAAUUCAUUGGUAACACUUUAUUGUUCAAGGUUUUUUGGCAGAGACCAGUUACUAACCUUUGAAUCAAGAGGAUUGAAAGUUCUUCUCUUUUGUUCUUAACUUCAGCAAAGGAAACGUGCUGUGACAGUUCAUGUAUCGGAUAGCACAGGAAACAGGCUAAAAGGAGCUUCCAUCAAGGUCCAGCAAUUGUCCAAAGACUUCCCUUUCGGAUCCGCCAUCUCCAAGACCAUCCUGGGAAACCAUCCGUAUCAGGUUCGUUAAAACGUUGUUGGAAAUGAACUGGUUCUUCAAUCAUAACAAAACAAGCCGUUGACAAACCCAGUCACUCGGAAAAGGCUCGAUUUUAUUCGAACCAAGGUAAACUCGACUCGAUAGGCUCGCAUGCUGGCUUGAGUUAAACUUUGAGGGCCAACUCGAAUACUACCUCAAGUAUAUAGCUCGUUAUUGAAGCAACAUACGAUAAAUAAUAUGUAAUUUGUGAUCGGUGCUGAUGAAAAUGCAAGUGGUACAUUAUUCAGGUUUAACUAUUUUAACUAAGAAAAGUAAAAACUUGUAAAAAUUUUAAGAUAGGUUAUUUUUUUAGCUUGACUUGUCGAUGUUUUUAGUGUACAAAUUUCAAAUUUAGCUUAAAUUGGACCCAUCAGGACUUUUAACGAGUGAAGUUUGAGUUGAGCUCUAGUUUGGUUCGUCAAGAAUAGUUAUGAACCAGCCUAAAAUUUUCUAGGUGAGUACUAGCUCACUAAAAAGUAAAGCCAAACUUGAAAAUAGUGAAGCUAUGGUGGCCUAAAUUUGGUUCGUAAACCGCCCUAAAAGUCUUAUUUUAUCGACAGAUCUCUUCUUUAAAUCCUUAAUAACCCCAAACUUAUGCAUAUAAUUUACCAAAAUUAUAUAAAUCUUAACUCUGAAUGAAUAAUAUAAAAAAUAAUCUACACCAUCUCUGAAAACACAAUUUGGAUGACUUGUGACGGAAUUGGUGUUUACAGAAAUGGUACCUGGAGAGAUUCAACGCGGCGGUGUUCGAGAACGAGCUGAAAUGGUACGCCACGGAGCCCAAACAGGGCCAGCUAAACUACACGAUACCAGACAAGAUGAUGGAGUUCGUCAGAUCCAACGGAUUACUAACCAGAGGCCACAACAUCUUCUGGGAAGAUCCCAAAUACACCCCCGAAUGGGUGAAGCAACUCGCCGGCAAACAACUCCACGCCGCCGUCGAAUCAAGAAUCCGGAGCCUGAUGAACAAGUACAGGGAAGAGUUCGUCAACUGGGACGUCAGCAACGAGAUGCUCCACUUCAAUUUCUACGAAGAAAAAUUGGGCCGCGACGCCACAUUGCACUUCUUCAAGACCGCUCACGAAUCCGACCCCUUGGCGACCCUGUUCAUGAACGACUACAACGUCGUCGAGUCCUGCACCGAUCUCAACUCGACGGUGGACAAUUACAUCGGUAGGUUGAAGGAGCUGCAGCAAGGCGGAGCUACGAUGGACGGGAUCGGCCUCGAGAGCCACUUCUCGGAGCCGAACCCGCCGUUGACUAGAGCGAUCAUCGAUAAAUUAGCGGUGCUGAAUCUGCCCAUUUGGCUCACCGAAGUCGACAUCAGCAAGAAGUUCGAUUACCAAACCCAGGUUUGAAUUUCAUUUGAUUUGAUGUCAGGUUACUUGAAGUUGAAGUACUCUUUUUGACGAAUUGGGCUUAAUUUUUAUGAGGUAUUUUGUGAAAUACAGGCAAGGUAUUUGGAGAAAGUCCUGAGAGAAGGGUUUUCUCACCCGGCGGUGGACGGGAUAAUGCUGUGGACGGCGCUUGAUACCAAGGGCUGCUACGAGAUGUGCUUGACGGAUAACGAUAUGAAAAACUUGCCGGCGGGGGACACAGUGGAUAAGUUGCUGAGAGAGUGGAGCACCGGGGAGGUGAAUGGGAGCUCCGACGAGCGAGGGUCGUAUAGCUUUUAUGGGUACUUGGGAGAGUACAGUGUGAAGGUGGAGUAUGGCGGUAGAGUAGUGAAUUCGACAUUAGCUCUUAGUAAAGGUGAUGAGACUAAACAGUUGAGUAUUCGAGUUUAGGAUAUUUUGGUGAUUGAAUCAACAAAGUCACUAUUUUUUUAAUGUUGUGGCAUAGAAGAUCAUGUGAUAGCUUUAAUCUUUGACCAAUUUGCUUUUUGUUUUGGUCAUGAUGUUUUCUUGCUUAGUUCUGAUGUAUAAGUUUCAUUCAUAUAUGGUCUUUUUUGCCUCAGAUUAUUUUCCAAUUCAUCAGUAAUUCCAGCAUGAACAAAGUGGAGAUGAACACUACCUCCUUGCUUUAUGCAUUGAGUUUAUGAUUUGGAGAUGUUGUGGUUUUCAAAGUGAGCCGAGUGUUAUUUGUAAAGUCUGCAGCAGGGAUUUCUCUAGCAAUGGUGAACUCAAGAAUAAGUCUCCAUUUCACUAUAUGCAUGUGAACUCAAGAGAAGACUCCAUUUCCAGUUUCUUCACCAACCUACCUACUUCCCAUCCAAACCAAUCCCAAAAUUAAUACGACCCAGCAGAAUGGCCGGGUUUGGGAUCAUCUACAAAUGUUAUGUUCUUGUGUUGUACCGUAUGAACAUACAACCAUAGACAUGCAUUAUCUACGAUAUACGUUUCUAUACACAAUUGAAUUUUGAAGCAAGGAUAGUGCUUAUCUCCAACUACCAGUAACACAGAGAUUCCACUACUUGACUUUAUUGACCAAUUCAUUCAUUAUUCCCUAUUUUGUCAACAAACACACAGGAAAAAAAGAUCCGAUAGGGGGGAUUCUGAGUUUGAAAUGAUGACCUUCUGUGUUGAUUUCUUUCUUUCCCCUCCACAUUUUCAACAUUACAUCAUUGCCAAUCUCUCCCCUUCCCCAACUCACUGCUCAAUUAAAUAUGCCCUACGGUGACGCAAUUUGAUUCCAGACCCCCCCAAUCCUGAAAACAACUUGCAAUUCCAGCAAAGUGAGCGACAAAAAUGAAAAAGCUGAACGAAAACGUCAACACCAAACACUGUCCUAGCCCACAAUCCAACUCCCUCCAUUCACAUUCCCUCUGAGCUUUCUUCCUCCCUUUGGCCUUUUCAGUUCCAACAAAUUAAAAUGAUUUCAUUCGUCACAUGAAGAAGGAAACCAAAUUGAACGAAUUAGGUAAUAUACUAUUCCCUGAACGACAUGCAUUAAAACCACAACUUCUUGAGAAAUAUGUUACAAUUCCUAAACUCGAAAAUUUGCACAACCCUAGAAACAAAAUACAAGAGAAUCUUGAAAGUGGUGGGGGUGCUCAAGUGCACACUUUGUUUUUGGCUUUUUUUGCACCACACUUCCCCCCAAACGGUUCGAGCAAAAUAGGGGGAAUCUUGUCAGCUUUUCUUAACAAAGGCUCUGCUUGCUGCUUGCUUGCAAACUUCUCUAAUAAUAAACAUAAAGAAUCCCCAACACUAAACAUAAACAAAAUCAAAAUCAACCAUUAAACUAAGCAAAACAUCCACCAUGAUCACUAAUGACCAGAAGAACAACCAACCAGCAGUAGCACAACAGCAGAAGUAACCACCAUUCCACACAGAGAAGAAGAAGAAGAAGCUCUUCUUUCUGAUCCUCCCAUGGCUAAACCAGCUAACCAUCCAUCUGCCAACAUUGUCUGCCCUCCUCUGGCGUUGUUGGUGUAUAGGACUCAGACUUCUGACUGCAAAAUCAGCAAUUUUUAAUGAUCAAAACUUGAAUCAAACCUUAGCCCACUCACGUAAAUUAAAAAUUCUACCAUACCCAGAUUCUGAAAUAAACAAACUGUCAAAACAGAAUAAAAAUGAGAUCUUUGUCAUUGACCCAUUGGUUUUACCCGGGAGAGGUCAGGCAAUUUUAGAAACGAAUGUACCAAGCCUAGAUUACUAAAUAGAAAACUAAUUCUUCAAAUAGAAUAAAGAUGAGAUCAGUCAUUUUUGUCAUUCCCAGAUUUUCGUUUACCUAGGCGAGGAGGGGCAAAAUGUGAUGGUAUAAUCAGCUCCGGUACAUGUAAAAGUACUAGUAGCAUCAUCGUACGCAUAGCUAUAGGACUUGGGACAAGCGGCUUUAAACAUCGCCGAGUAAACCGACGGCCUACAAGUCGCCGGCGUGUUGAACGCGCCGCUACAACAAUACUCGGGGCUUCCAAACGCCUCGCACGCGCUCUUACACGCACUCCCAACCCCGGACUUCAGCUCAUCGGGGCACUGCCGGUUCAGAUCUGUGGUACAACCCGUCGACCCACAAGGACCAGACCCGCCGCUCCCUUCCACGACCAUGGGGACGUUGUACCCGUCGACGAGGCUGACGUCGUAGAAGUCCAUCCCGCCGCCGCUUCCGAGGGUGAACUCCGCGAGUGUGGCCGGAGGAGCGGCUCCAAGCCCAUUGCACUCGACGAGACCCGACCCGCAGUCCCCGGUCUGGCAAGAUCCGGAACCGGAAUCGUCGAAUGUGCAUCCGGUUCGUGCCCAGAACCUGCCCGACCAGCCGGUCGGAGCUUGGAAGGCGCGGGUUGAACCUUGUGGAAGGGAGAAUCCGGUGCUUUCGAGCUUAGGACUUCCGGCAUUGGCUAGAAUCCCUGGCCAGAGUGUGUAGUCGCAUCGGUUUACGAAGGUGAACGUCGCUCCCAUAAUUCCUGAAACACAGAUUUUUUUAAGAAUCUGAGUUAUUCUGCUUCGGAAUCGGGAAACCUAUUGUAGGAAAAAACAGAGAGGGGAGGAGGAUUCUUACCCUGUGGAUUGACGAGGAAGAGGAUGAAGGUGAGAGUGAGACAAAAGAAGCGAUGCAUUUUUUUCCGGUACGGCAGCAAAUUAGCAGCUGGUUGUAGCUUCUCUUUGGUGGUCCUCCUCCGGUUUCUGCUCCGGUAAUGGCGGUGGAGGAAUUUGCAGUGGCGAGAGUGAAGAGUGUAGCUAGAGAGUGUGGAUUGGAGUGAUUGAGUUGUGUGGUUGGUUGGCUCAAUGUGUUUCAUAAACCGACAAAAAGGAGAGUGAAAAGAGGAGUGUGUGUAAAUAAAGUAGUAAUGGGCCGGGCAAAUGGGUCCAAAUUUACGGCCCACCAUCUUUUCAACCUUCAAAGUUCAAUCCCUCAUAUUGUCGUAUUUAUUCAAAAUUUAUAAAAAACAUUGUUUGGGAUCUUUAUGUUUUUCAAAGUAAAUUGUCACUCUUUUUUUACAGGUCACACUCUUAUUAUUAAUGAUAAAAAAAAUACUGUACAUUUCAAAAAACCAUAAUCGAGAUAAAUAGGAGAAAUAUAUCCAACAAACGAUGAUGUUAAAAAAAAUGAACGAUAAGUAAUUUCAUGAGCAACCUUAUAUAUUUCUAUUCCUCCUAACUUUCCUCACCUGAAACAAAUGGCAAGUCAAAUAAAUAUUCUGACAAAUACUUAUAACACGACUCAACUCUGUAACAUCCUCAUCCUGAUUGGUCAAACCCACCACCGCCUGCAAGGAGUCGACCUCAAAGUUAACGGCUUGGUGACCACAUUACAUAGCCCACAUCAACGCCUUCAUUAGGGCUAGAGAUUCUCCUUCGGGACAACCAUAUCCCCACACAAAGCGAACUGCGAGCGGCUCACUAGUGUGCAUGGUUGCGUAGGGCCAUCCCACAUCCCCACCAAUGCUCCCCUUGACGAAAAAUCUCAUCGACGUUACAAUAGUUAGUCCUCCCCCGAGGCGGAGAAUGCCACUUCUCGCACUUGACUGCCCUAGUACUAGGCCUAUCAGUGCCAACUGCCCCGCUUGCUCUCACGACCUUCCACCCUGCUUGCACACGAGCCAUGCGUCCACACCCAACCCGAACCUUCUCCAAUGUUGCAACCUGGUUCAGAAAAAUUUAGUGCAUAUGCUAUGCUCUGAUAGCUUUCCUAUUAUUGGUAUAAAAUAUAAAUGAAGGCUUUAGGAUUAGUAUACUUGGUCGACUGUAAAAGUGAAGCUUGCUGUAGAUUUACCUUGGUAAAAAACGCGGUUAACUGGUUUAAAAAAUGGUGAAAGGGGACGCGGUAUUGUGCGGGAAUCUCCAGGACAUGAAUUGAGGACAACCGUUGGAUCUCGUCUCAAUCAAAGCAAAAGACGGGUCCCACCACUAUCCGAAACAAAGGCAGCUUUCACCAAUCACGUCACCUCACGUACUGUACAAAAUUCCACGUCAGCUAAUCAGUACCGAGUUGGCUGAUGACAGCCCAACCACCUGAAGAAGCACAGAGAAAUUUAGUUUGCCGACGUCAAGGUCAACUAGCCGUUUGACUCUUGCCAGGUUGGCAGGUUGAGGCAUUGGGCCCACCGCCCAAGCACGGAGGUGGCUCCCGCCAGUUUUAAUACAAUCACAUUAUCAUGGCGCAAAGCAUUGGAUUCCAAAUUCCACCUCUACACCCUAACUUAAUAAUAGUCUCCACCCUAACUUAUCGUUGCCUUAGGCACGACCUCUAGCCACUAAUGCUGACCAACAACCUCGUCCCGCCCACCGUGUAGAUACAAUGGCGUCUCAAUUGGUAGAUCAAGCCCCCCGUACCUCUAAAUAUGGAGUCACAGUAACUUCGUCAGAUGUACGUAGAUGUCGCCGGCAUUACGCUUGUAGCUCGCAGGUGUCUCCUUAUCUUCAACUUUCGUUCGGGUCAUCGAUUAUACGAGCAUAUAAUUGAUUCUACAAGGCUAUAAUCGAUUAUAUGACCAAAUAAUCGAUUAUAUGAAAAAUAACGGAUUAUUGGAAAGAAUAAUUAGUUAUUACAUAAAAUAUUCUAGUCUUGGGUUAAUAAUCGAACAUGAGAGUAACACUCUGUUAUAGACUCAUAAUCGUUUAUGCAGUAUUUUAUCGGUUACAAAACUACUAUAACCGAUUAUGGUGAUAAUUGGUUAUCUGUUCGUUGAAAAAAUUACGAACAAUUGCACGAGAUGAAACGGAAAAUAAAUGUAAAUACUCUAGAAGUAUGUAUAAGCUAUAUGGAUAGGUCAAACUUUCUACCAAAUGUGAUGAUGUUAUUUGAACUCUAAAGUUCAACAAACACCCAGAUAUAAAGAAUGUGAUUGGAGCCUCCAAUGAGGUACGCUCAUUUCAAAGGUCCACCUCGCACGGGGGAACUUGUAAGGUUACUUUUAUCCCUUUGCAGGCAUUGCAAGGUUGCAACUUGCAACGAUGAUGGGGAAGACCCAAUGAGUAAAGUUGAAAAAAGAUCAAGUUUUUUUUAACUCAAAAGGUUUUAAUGCAUCUUAAAUACAAGGAAUAAUUAUUUAAAAAGCUUCCAACUUUUCGACAAUACUAUUAUGGUUCAACAACAUCUUUCCACCAUUUAGGAAUAUUGUUCAACUGCAAUUGAAAUCUCACUAAUUUGUACAACAGCUUGUGAGAACAGAGCUGUCUCUGGUACACAAUUAGCUAUGUAAAAUACUGUCAUGUUUCUCACAUCGACGACGUAAUAUGGUUCUAAAUUCGCCUGCUCACAAACGCAAGUUGCCCGCGAACCAAGCUAUACUAACUGUUACAAGUUCCAACCCAUUGGACCUAACUCCUUCCCUAAAACUAAAACAAAAGAUUAUAACCUCACUGCUUCACCCACGGAUUUCAUAUUUAGUCACGUAGUAAUAACCCAAAAACUAUAAAGUGUGGAAAGACUCAACUCCAACUUACCGUUGUAAAUGGAAUUUGGGAUUGAAAUUUAGUCUUGGGCUCCUUCGUCCUGGGCUCCAGACCCUUCUUUGUCGGGGUUUUGAGCAUUGCCUCUUAGCCCAUAGGAUUUCUACCAAGCUUUUGUAGGCUUAAGCCCUCAGUCCAUCCACUAGCAUGGGCCUUUCUAAAUCAAUUCAAGAUGCAUGGUAUCAAAUCUGUAACCCAUAUCAUAAAAUUGGGCCUUUUACUAAAAGCCCAUUCGCCGCCCCAAGUGGGCAUAGAGGUUUACUUUGAAUUUUGAGAUUUUAAGAGGGACUCUUUAAUAUUUUCUCACUUAAAAGUAAAAACGACAGAAUUUAAUUUCUAAUCGAAUUUUGAACUUUCUAAUAUCUUUGGACCCAUGUAGAAAAAUGUGCAGCCUUUUUUCUUCAAGUUGUGAAGAAGCAAACUUGAAGAAAAGCAUUGAAAACCCAACCAAAAUGGUCCCUUAUUCCUUUCACUUAUGAGAUUCCUUCCUUUGGCUACCAAAAGAUGUUGUUGUGCUCCCAAUUUGGCGGCCAUAAAGUGGAAGCUACCAUGAUUGUGCUGUAUGCAAUAUGCCAAACCAAAACCACAUACAUAGACAGUGUUGACCACUGAAUUGAACUACAUGAAGCAAAAGGGUCCAUCGAGAUUGAAUUACCAAGCCAAUAUGCAAAGGCAGUAAUCUCUAAUGAUAGGCACAGAUGAUCAUGGGAAAGUGGCAAUAUACAACAACAAAUGCAACUAUAAAAAGGUAUGCUUCACCAUUGAUUUUGGGAGGAUUGAUCAUGAUUGUCAUUAAACCAGUGACUUAAUGACAAGCAAAUGAACAUAGAUAGCUGGAAACCAGCAAGCAAGACCAAUGAAGAGCCUCGCAAAAUGUGGCAGAUAAACAAUAUUUAUGAAGACAAAAUCUGAUGUAAAUCAUAGUGUAGUGUAUGAUAAUCAGAAGCAAAUGGGUGAGUGGGAGAAAUAUCAUAUAUAUGCAGUUAUGAAGGUUGGAAAAUAAUGGAACAAAGCAUGCAGAAAAUAUUCAUAAGUUUGGACAGAAGUGGAUCAUCACUGUAAUUACAUAGCUAGCAUGCAGUCAAGGAGACACAACUCACAGUAGAAUGUUUUUGGUACCUUUUAAUUUCUUUUUCAUUCUCUGCAACCUGUGACUGAAAAUUACCAAUGGAGUAUAUGUGGUGGCACCUCACCAACUACUAUCAAAAUGUUUCUCUCUGCAUAUUUUUUAUUUUUUUAAAUAAAAACAAAUUAAUGUCCGAGUGGAAUUACUUCAACCGUUGCAGUUGAGCGUGUGUUUGGUUAUUUGAAGAUUUUGAAUUCGAAUCUAGUAUACUUUAUUAAAAUUACAAAUUAUUCUUAUAAUAGAAGAAAGUGUUUUCCAAGUAUACUUUAUUUUCAUCUUCUUCGUUUUUUGUAGUCUUCGUAUCAAUCAUNNNNNNNNNNNNNNNNNNNNNNNNNNNNNNNNNNNNNNNNNNNNNNNNNNNNNNNNNNNNNNNNNNNNNNNNNNNNNNNNNNNNNNNNNNNNNNNNNNNNNNNNNNNNNNNNNNNNNNNNNNNNNCAUGACAAAAAAACUAGGAAUCUCUCAGAAUUGCUCGACCAAAUGUAGAAAUAGGUAUUGAACAUUUCACAAGAGACACCUGCCAUUAUUCCCAAAUCUCAUGUUCUAAUCACACACAGCUUUUCUUUCACCGUUAAUGGUGUCGGGAAUAAUUUUUAUGGCUAUUUUUUCACAGUGUGGUUCUGUUUAUGAUGAUUGAAGAAAGACAGAAUUAUUAUGAGUCGUAAUCAUGAUAUAUGUAAAGAUAAAUCAAUAAUGUCCCCAGGUGACAUAUUUGAAAUUAACAAGGGAAAUAAAUCCACUUAGUGCUUAAUCAAAAAUAAUAUAGUAGUGUGUACAAACGUAUUCAUACAGUGAGUGUUUUCACAAUAAUAAUACCACAAGUAUUUUACUUGUUAUAAUUAAUUAUACCAUAAUUAUAUUAUAUUCACUUGAUUGGACCAGAUCUUUGAUAGCAUGCCACUGUUGGGCAUGUGAUAAAAGCUGCUUUUUUCCUUUCACUUGGAAAAGAAGACCACGCCCCCCGCCCCAUUUCACUUGGCAAGAAAGGGGCAGAGAGAGAUGGCGAGGAAGCAUGAGAAGAAGGAGCCACGGUAGACACAAGGAAAAAUCGUAAGGAGAUGAAGAAGCUGAUCAUUAUGAAUAAUAAAAGAAAUUUUGGAAUAUACACUUAAUUAUUUGAUUAAAUGUUUGAUGAGAAACUGAUCACUCUUUUAGUCUUUAUCGUUUCCAAAAUUAUAAUGUUUGUUUUCUAGUUUAUAAUUACUAUCAUUUGGUAUAAUUGAUAAAGAAUUGAUCUAACCACCUGUAUCAUAUACAUACACAGUCUCACCGAGGAUAUGCAAAUCUUCAACAAAACACAUCAUAUAUGAAAAUGGUGUAGUAACAAAAAAUUUAAGUAGACACACUAAAUAACUUGUUAAAAAGAUCGAGAUGGAAACUAUAUUUCAAUAAGAACCAUCACAUUUUAGAACAUUUUCAUUAGUAAUAAUCAAAUAACACCUAUCACCCCAUAUUCGAGUUGGUAAUUGAAGUACAACUUCUCAACAAUUUAUAUAGUUACCCUACUUUUUUUUAAGUUAAAUAGCUCCGAGGUGAAUUUGUUACGGAAAAUGCUCUAUGCUUAAUGAGUGAAGCACCAAGAAAUGUUUGUUAAUGCUGCUUAAAAAGGAGAUUUUCAGUUUCACCCUCAGUGUUUAGGGACCAAGAUUUCGCAUCUUGAUUUUGUAGAUGACCUGGUAGUGUUUACCAAAACAACGGAAAAGGGGAUUAGUGAAGUGAUGAACGUGCUUAAGUGUUUUCAAAAUAUUUCUGGAUUGAAAUUCAGCCAUGAGAAUAGUGAAAUGUUUUUUGUUAGGGUGUCUUCUGAUGUUGCUGAGAAGUUUGCUAUUGAUUCUGGUUUUAGGUAUGGCGUUCUUCCAUUCUGUUAUUUUGGAGUGUCGCUUACAUCAGGAAAACUUAGAGUUACCGAUUGUAAGCUCUUGUUUGAUAGAAUUACGGCUAGAAUCGUAGAUUGAAAAGCUAAGAAUUUGCCUUAUGCUGGUAAAAUUCAAUUAAUCUAUCGAUUAUUGGAGGAAUACUCCAAUAUUGAAUGUCCGUUUUUCUUCUUCCUAAGAUUCCUCUUAAAGAUAUAGAACAACUGUGCAAUAAAUUUUUAUGGGGUAAGCUUAAGGGUGGAUAUUAUAAGGUGGUUUAGAAAUUCUUGAUUUUCUCUAAAACAAAGGAUGAAAUUAGUCUAAAAGAUCUUUUUUCUUGAAAUGUUGCUAACAUUAUCAGGCAUUUAUGGGCUUUGAUUAUUUGGGGAGGCUCUUUUUGAAUGGUCUCGAUGUACAAAUACAUGAUCAAGAGUAAAGAGUUAUUGUCUCUUAAGAUUUCAACUGGUUCAUGGAUUUGGAGGAGAAUACUGAAAAUGCGUAAAAUUGCUAGAGCACAUGCUAUUGUUAAAGAUGUGAAUGUGAUUCUUUGGUAGAAUGAUGGUAUACUCCAAUAUGGCACUCGUCGAGUUUGGGAUGUCAUUAGGUCAAAACAAGACAUUGUUCCUCGGAGUAAUCUAAUUUGAAAUGGAUGGCAGAUUCUUAGUUUCAGUGUCAUUAGCUGGUUAGUGAUUAAUAAUUGUAUUGCGGUUCGAGAGAAACUUGCAGCCUGGAUGAUUACUGUUUAUGUUUCAUGUUUUCUUUGUAGCAAUGGAAUUGAUUCUAGACAUCAACUCUUCUUCUGCUGUAACUUCUCCUAGGAAGUUCUUGGCUUGCUCCUCCCUAAGAUUUUCAGUAAGUGUGAUUGGGAGGAAAAUAUUGAUGCACUUUGUAAUGCCAGACUGGACGAAAAUAUUGAGCUUCCUAAAAUCAACAAAUCUGAUGUUUUGUCUUAGUUGAUAGAUCUUUGUCAUAGAUAUUAUAAUUUUUUAUAAAAUAAAAUUUAAUUAUUCAUAAAAAUAUUUGUUGCUGAAAAUGCUCUAUGCUCAAUGAGUUUGAAAAUGCAUCAUAUUAUUUAAUAUUUACACGGUUUCAUGUUAUUAGCCAAAAAGCAAUUGAACGAAUUAAGUUGAUGGCAAAUCAGAAAUUUGAACCGCAAAAGCAGGGGUAGAUUAGGCAGAAAAAGCUAUUAGUAAUGAGAAAUCAGCUCGGGAAGCGGGUGGGUGAGACCGAGACCCGUUCGUGCGGACAACAGCUCUCACGCUUUCAACAUCGCUAAUCAUUUUUAUUCUCCACAUUAAUUACACCAACUCAUUUAAUUAAUAAACAACUAAUUCAAAUUAAUUAUGGGGUAAAAUAUCUGAAAGCAUUGUUAUCAUUAUUUUUGGACUGUAAUCGGUAAAGUUACCUCGAAGUUACAUGCAAUUUUGUUUUACCCUCCAGCCAGCUUAUAGAUUAAAAGUAGAGAUUUGGGAGUUGGAUUCAUUGGUUUAGGAAAUUCAAAAUUUCUUUACUAGUUAAAUCGAUUUCUCGAUAAAUGAAAUAGUAUAUCAGUUUGCAUUAGGAUUUGGUUGAUAUAGAGUUUUGGAAUUUCUCUUUGUACACACCGUCAGUCAUGUUUAUUAAUUAAAUGGUCCGGUGAAAUAUUAGUAUCGCGGCAACAUGGUCAUGGACACUACUAUUAGCAAGAAGAAAGGUUGUUGUUAAAGGUAGGUAAUUUUUUAGUGAAAGGUGUUGUAUUUUAACUAUAUUAUUAUUAUUAUUAACUAAGAUAACUUUCACAUAAUAAUUAAUAUGGUGANNNNNNNNNNNNNNNNNNNNNNNNNNNNNNNNNNNNNNNNNNNNNNNNNNNNNNNNNNNNNNNNNNNNNNNNNNNNNNNNNNNNNNNNNNNNNNNNNNNNNNNNNNNNNNNNNNNNNNNNNNNNNNNNNNNNNNNNNNNNNNNNNNNNNNNNNNNNNNNNNNNNNNNNNNNNNNNNNNNNNNNNNNNNNNNNNNNNNNNNNNNNNNNNNNNNNNNNNNNNNNNNNNNNNNNNNNNNNNNNNNNNNNNNNNNNNNNNNNNNNNNNNNNNNNNNNNNNNNNNNNNNNNNNNNNNNNNNNNNNNNNNNNNNNNNNNNNNNNNNNNNNNNNAUUAUAUAUAGACAUGUAGUCGGUAAUAAGAAUAUGAUAUCGUACAGUAUUACUCAUUCGCUCGAUCUAAAUUUAAUACACAUUUGCAUGUAAAUAACGUAAUUGUUUUUUUAACUAUAUUUUUACUGUCACCAAUUUGAUAUGUAUACCAAUUGUUUUUUUGUAAUAAUGAAAAAGGCGCUAAAUGCUAAUCCUUAAUAUCCGUUAAACGUCGCCGUUUCAACCUUCCUCUUUAGCAAGUUCCGUCAACUUUUUACUUUUAGUUGCAGGCGGGGACUCUGCACAUCAGUAUAAGUAACUGUUGUCUUCCACAAAUGAAAUUCUCCAUUGAAGCAGAAAACAGAGCAUCAACUAAGCUCCCUCUCGACUCUCCCAACUCCCAACCAAAACCAGCAGAAAUAUAGCACACUUAGCACCAUUCCCAAAAACCAGCUCUCCAUUCAAAACCACCUUUCAAAGAGCACACUUAGCAGCAUUCAUUUUCUCUCCCUUCGAGAACAAAGAGCAUUACUUUCUUUCUCCCCAUCGUAUUUCGCUAUAUAUACUCUCACACACCCCUCCCCAUUCCCCAUUCACAUCUCACCCACUAACCCAAUUCGCCACCAUCGAAACCAAAUCGCAAGAUGGAAGCUGCAAACGGCGGCGAUAAGGUGGUGGAAACGGUGAUCGCCGGUAACUACGUAGAAAUGGAGAGCGAAGGGAAGUCCAGAGACAUCAAAAGCAGAGUCUCCAACUUCCUCUGGCACGGCGGCUCCGUUUACGACGCAUGGUUCAGCUGCGCUUCUAAUCAGGUUCAACUGGUUUUUCCAUUUUCGUUGUUAUGUCCGAAAGGUGUUUGAUGAAAUGUUUGAACGAAUAUUUUUUUUCCUUAUUCAGGUGGCGCAAGUGCUGCUUACUUUGCCGUACUCGUUCUCCCAGCUGGGGAUGCUGUCCGGGAUACUAUUCCAGCUAUUCUACGGCGUGUUAGGGAGCUGGACGGCAUACCUGAUAAGUGUGCUGUACGUGGAGUACAGGACGAGGAAGGAAAGGGAGAAGGCUGAUUUCAGGAACCAUGUCAUCCAAUGGUUUGAAGUUCUUGAUGGGCUGUUGGGGAAACACUGGAGGAACGUGGGUUUGGCUUUCAACUGCACGUUUCUCCUGUUUGGAUCUGUCAUUCAGCUCAUAGCCUGUGCUAGGUAACAAAUUAAAAAUCCUUUCUUUACUUCCUUAUUGUUUAAUGUAGGGGUUAAUAAUGUUAUUUGUAUAUGAACAUGUUGUUGGGGUUGAUGAUGCAGUAACAUAUAUUACAUAAAUGAUAAUCUGGACAAGAGGACUUGGACGUACAUAUUCGGAGCCUGCUGUGCUACAACUGUGUUUAUUCCUUCAUUCCACAACUACAGAAUCUGGUCUUUCCUUGGUCUUGUUAUGACCACUUACACUGCUUGGUACCUCACUGUUGCUUCUCUCCUCCAUGGCCAGGUAACUAGUUAUUCUAACUUUGGAUUCCAAUCCGGCUUUUCGUAUGCUUUGGUGGCCGGGCACAUCCUUUUGCAUGGAAUUAAUAAGAUUGUGAUAUUACCUCCAUUUGGAUGAGUAUUUUGGCUGACAACUCAUUAUAAAUUAAUUGAAUGAAAAUAAUUCGUUUGACAUUAAACACAAAAUUUAUGAUAUUUUAAAUUAUAAUAUUUCAAAUAAUUUAUUUUCGAAUCAAGUACUAAGAGAAUGUCCCCAUUUUAAUAGUCUGUAUAGAAACAUGUCCUUGAUAGACUCGUUUUAAUAUUAUGCCUGAAAUAUCCAAAUUGAAAUACUACCCUACACGACAUUCUACACUAGAUCUAUGUACUACCAUAUGAGAAACCAAAUAUCAGAUUUCACAUGCUUGCUCAGAUUCUUGUCUGAAUAUUGAAUUUUGUUUAUUGUUGGUGGUAUGGGGAACGACGAUGAUUGAAGGUGGAGGGAGUUCAACACUCGGGACCAACGAAGAUGGUGCUGUAUUUCACAGGGGCCACAAACAUUCUCUACACAUUCGGAGGACAUGCUGUUACUGUGUAAGCAAGCAAACUUCUGCUACUUACUGCCAUACCCGAAUCUUUAUACUCUUGGUGCUUCAAAAUUGAACCUUUUCUUGAAGUUUGUGCUAGCUGCAUAUACAUAAAUUUAAAUUUGCAUGAUUGAUUGAGUAACGAAUAAGGAAAGGCUCAACUUUCCUGUUUCCAUUCUGUACUUUAGUAAUGUCAAUUUCAUUUUACAUCUUGACAGUGACAUAACCUUGACUUCCUUGUACAUAACCUAUACAUCUUCCCUGAAUGUUGAUUUAGAAAAACAGAUUAAUUUUCUCUACGUACAAAAAAGUUUGGCAACGUUGAUUGAUUCUUAGGCGUGGGGUGAACAUGACUACAAAGUAGUUUAUCAUCCAUCAUGGAGCUUUCAAUUCAUUGCAGCAAAAAAGCCAUUCCUCUUUCUUCGAAGCUUUUGCUUUUAUCAUGAAAGGAAAACAACAUAAUUGAAAAGGAAGGGGUCCAGUUUCACCAUAAUACUGUAGAAUAUGCAUAAUGCUGCAGAGAAGCUGGUGGAAGAAAGCUCUCUCUGCACUUUUUCACCACCUUUUUUCUUCCUACAGAAGCUGGCAGCUUCGUUAAUCAAUAAUGAUGAUAUCAAAUAAUUAAUGGGAAAAUUAACAUUGUCCGAUAACGAAACAAUUAAAUUUUGCAGGGAGAUAAUGCAUGCAAUGUGGAAGCCACAGAAGUUCAAGUCCAUAUAUCUACUGGCUACGCUGUACGUUAUGACGUUGACGCUCCCUUCCGCCGCUGCCGUUUACUGGGCAUUCGGCGACGCUUUGCUUAACCAUUCCAAUGCCUUCUCCCUCCUCCCCAAAUCUCCCUUCCGUGACAUGGCCGUCAUUCUUAUGCUCAUCCAUCAGGUUUAAUUUGUCACUAAGCUUUUAUCCACCAAAAGUAACAAAGAGUUGAUCUUUAUUGGAUAUUUAUCAAAUUGUUGGUUUGCUGCAGUUCAUAACAUUUGGGUUCGCAUGCACGCCGCUUUACUUCGUGUGGGAGAAAGCCAUAGGGCUUCACGAAUGCAAGAGCCUUUGCAAGAGAGCGGCGGCAAGGCUGCCGGUGGUGAUUCCGAUCUGGUUCUUGGCGAUUAUCUUUCCUUUCUUCGGACCGAUUAACUCCACCGUUGGAUCAUUGCUCGUUAGCUUCACUGUCUACAUUAUCCCUGCCUUGGCCCACAUGUUCACCUUCAAAUCUGCCGCUGCCCGUGAGGUAAUUCAACAUAUGAUAUCCAAUUACUUGCAACUUCUUUAGUACUUUGUUGUUAUCCUAGGCAGCAACAUGGACCGGUCUCUGUUCUAGCAGACCAGUGCCGCAUCUUUCUCCCUAAACCCGAUAAUACCAAAUAUUUAAACUUCAUACUAGCAGUAUAGAGUAAAAAACUAAUUUUAAUUUGCAUGUUGGUGGAAACAUAUGUAUUGUUUCUAUAUCUUAUUGAACUGCGCAAAUUUCCCCUACCAAGGUACAAAAGAUGGAAUCUUUAUAGGAUUUCUGUUACUUUUAUUUGCAUGGGCUUGAUUAGAGAUGAUGGUUUUAUUGCAGAAUGCGGUGGAGCAGCCACCAAAGUUGCUGGGGAGAUGGGUGGGAGCGUACGUGAUGAACAUAUUCGUGGUGGUGUGGGUACUGAUAGUAGGAUUCGGGUUCGGAGGGUGGGCUAGUGUGACGAAUUUCGUACACCAAAUCGACACUUUCGGACUCUUCACCAAGUGCUACCAAUGCCCACCGCCGGCAGGCGCCAUUCCCGCUCACCUCAACGCCACCACCGGAGCUGCUCCUGCUCCUCUGUACAAUCACCAUAGCAACCACACCCACAACCUCUAGUCACAUUUUGGUGAUCACGUGAGAUUUCUCUCCAUUGGACGACUAGACAAGGAUGGUACGGGGUUUUCAAAAUGAGCGAAGGUUGCCAUCGAGAUCGAUUCGUCUCGAAUGUUUGCUAUGUGUAGUCGCUGUGUUGUUGUUGUAUGUUUAUUUGUCUCAUAGAGGAAUUAGCUAGUUUUAGAAUGAGAGGGAAAAGGUGAAAGGAAAGAGGUAUGUGAGGAUGUUUGUUGUACCACUAUUAUCUAGUUGAGCUAUGCAAUUAUGUGAAUGAGUCAAUGAGAUGUGCCAAAAGCUCUUUCUACUAGACACAAUGGUUUGAUUUGGUCCAUCUAUAUUCCAGACCGACCUUUAUCCUAUUUUCUAGUUAACUUAAAACUAAACGAGACGUCGAUAUAUUUUAAUGCUCAAAAUUGACCCUAAACCCUGAUGUAUGCUAUUGAAAUACACAUUAUAAUUCAAGGCUCUAAAUCUAGUUCUAUGCAAUGUACACAAUCUAAACCAAUUGGUUUUCCGUAAAUAUUUUUCAGAAUAGUGCUAGACCAAACUUGAAAAAUACGAUAAGUACGAAAUGAUGGGGCACCGGCCUUAAGCGAUCACCCCCACAUCCGCCCUUGUUCGCGGUCAUGAACAAGGUUCGAAUAUACCCUUCUCGCAAACUCAGGAAAGAAGGGGAAGAAUGAUACUAUGAACAUCGAAAAUGACACAACAUCAUGAAACAGAGCAGCUUGACAGUAACAAAACAGAACUGUGAAAAGCAAUCGAAAUGCAAAUGCAGCUUCCUUUUCCUUUCUCUUUUUAAGUUUAUGCACUCACUUUCCAAUGCUUUCACCGCUUCCACAUCGAUCUUUCCAACAGGGAAUGAAAGCCGCUCCAUAUGAUAUGAUAAAAGGUGCUGCGAGGAAGAAUACAGAGUGAGUGAUUGAAAGCAGGUCAAAAAAGAAAUAUAGCGAGAGAAUAAUGCAGUGAGAAUCACUCAAAUUUCUUUUACUGGGCGGCGUGGGAAUCUGGGUUGCAUUACAAGAACAACUGUUGUUCUUUUGUUUGUGGUUGGGAAUCUAAUAAUUCAAUGGCAGGCUUCCCAUGAAGUUAUCAUGAUUCAUGAGGGGAACUUUGGAUAAAAGAGGGGAUGAGUAUCAUACUUAUAUUCACCAAACAUGUUCAACAUAUUAAUUGUUGGUUCUGUGGUAACCAUUUUGAACCAAAUUAUGAGUGAUAAGCUCCUACAAUUGUUCCUUUGACAAUGUCAUGAUUCACGCUCGACUGCUCCAAGAUGAUGUUUCAGUAUGUUAAGGUCCAGACCGAAUUGUAUGUAGGGUCCGAAGUGGAAUUUCCAACGGAAAUCUAUCCUAUUGUUUUAUUCGGAUUUCGAAUGGAGAAAUUUAGAAAAAUAAAUUUUAUAUCUUUAUGGUUUUAGGGUUUUAGAGCCUACACAUCUGCUGGUGACGUCUUAAAUUCUAUCAGGCCCAACCCAACUACAUUAGGGACAAUCCAGUAAAUUCACAUUCUUCCAGUUUUUCUUUCAUACAAGGAGUAAGCUUUACCCCUUAAAAAAGUAGGCUUUCGUAACAUUGUUUUCUACAAUAUGUAGGAGUGGCCAAUUGACAAUUGUUAUGGUGAGUCCGAGUUAUGUGUGGCAUAGCAUCUGGGAGGCCCGGAGUGUCGUUAGAAAUGGAGUUCGUUGGUACAUUGAUGAUGAAUCCCCCGAUAAUGUUGGACAUGAAAAAGUUGAACAACCGUGUCGUCUGUGUGGAUAUUAUGCGUUUUUGUUGAAAAAAAACUCAAUUUUUUUUCCAAAGAAAGUGUACAAAGUCUUUAAUUAAUCAUCAAUGUAAACCGAAGGAAUGCGGCCCUAACCAUAUCCUCUCAAAUACAAUCAAUCAUCUCACUAGGGAGGGACGAAAUAAAAUGAAAACAAGUGAUUAUGAUGAUGUAAUAAAACAACUACACAAUUGUCUUCUCUAAGAAAAUAUAUUUGGUUUAUAUUCUGCUUCAGAUUUGUAAAUUAGUAUGUUGAAAUCCAAUAUCUCAAAUCAUUUUUUUUUUCAGGAGUAAAAUAGAAGAUAAGAAAUAAAUUAGUACCUAUUUCGUAUGAUAUAUUAAAUUCGAAUCCGAAACUUUCGAAUAACUAGACACAUACUUUACUACCGAAGCAAUUGGCAUAUCUCAAACCGCCUGAAGACCAUAAUCUACACUCCGGAUUUCAAGUCUAGUGAUAGUUCAACAACCCAAAAAAAAUUCGGUUGACCAAAACGGCUUUUAAGAGUUUGUAAGUUUACUCAGGGUCUCUGUUACCAACCCUAAUGAAGAAGACUCAACCGUUACUGAGAAUUUUAAGAGGUGAAAUUGAAACCCCCAACAAAAAGCUCACACCAUAAAACAAACAAAACACAGGGCACAAUUCACAUGACUGUACCGGGAACCGUAACGUCUACAAACCACCGGCCACAAUUGUUAGAAGGUUGGAAAAUGAUGAGACCGAUGAUGAACACAAACAACCAAACAAUCAAACACACUUCUUCACGCAAAUACUGUCUCUCUGUUUUCAAACCAACCAACAUCUAUCCACCCAAAAACAAAACAGAUAAAAAAAUCCCAAAUUUCUGCACUAGUGGACUGGUCUUACCACAACCCACAUUCAUAUUCUUUAAUCCAACUGAGCUCAAGCUGGGAAAAAGCUAAAACGGUCAAAUCCGGAAGCUAUACAUCAAAAGCUUUGAUCUUUCACAUAAUACAAAAGCUUAAUAGCCAGAAAGGACAUGGACUUCUGGACAGCAACACACGCAAAAAUGCAGAGAGCAUUGAAUACCCUUGCAGCAGAAAAUAUUAGCCCAAGAAUGGAUCCUGCGAAAGCUACAAUGAAAAGGACAACCAUCGAAAAAACAACCAUAAACAAAUCACACGGGUCCUUGUCAAAGAAGUAAUGAAAUAUUCCACCUAACACAUGGACAAGAGUUGAGCUUUUACAAAUUACAACAAACCCACAAAAUCUCACUAGCAGUGGAAGAUGAUUCUUCGAUCAAGAAAAUCAAACAAUGCAAAAGGUGUAUGCUAUGGAUUGAUGAACAAAAACCCAUCUGGACAUUGUGAUCAUCCAACGAUUCAUAGCAAUAUAUGAGGGUCAAUGGACAAGAAAUGGAAUUAACACUGAACACAACAUAUAACCUUCACUCAUUCAAACAUCCGAAACAGUAAAACAGAUAUAAAGGACAGAGCCAAUCCACACUACUACAAUGACAAUCCAAAAGAAACUUAAAAGAUAACAAGCAAACGAUACAUCUAAAGAUAACUGAAUGCAAGAUGUGAAAUGGCUUUCACAACUCGCAACAAAAAACCACUUUGAUCAACAAGAUCAGCGGCCACCACCAGCAUUGGGGCACUCCCUAGCGAAAUGACCACUCCCUCCACAGUUGAAGCAGCCGUUUCCGCCGCCGCCGCCGCCCCCACCACACUCCCUUCACUCACCCGCCUCCACCACCGCGUCCUCCGCCUUGGACGGGCUUUCCAUCCGGACCGGUCACUUCAAUAGCCUUGGUGCGGCCAUCGUUGGACUUCUCGAUGACGUACUCCACCUCUUCGUCUUCGGCGAGGCUGCGGAAGCCUUCGGUCUGGAUGGAGGACUGGUGAACGAAGAGAUCCUCGCUGCCGUCGUUAGGGGUGAUGAAGCCGUACCCCUUCUGAUCAUUGAACCACUUCACCCUGCCCGACAAUCUGGCACUCAUCUUUGCGGCGAUCGGAGAAAAUAAAAACCCUACAAGAAAUUUCACAGAGAGAGAUUCGCUUGUGAUUGGAAAACGAAACGCUCUGGAGUGAAACACUGAACGAAGGCAUUGAAUUUAUAUUGGGAAAAGGGAGAUGCCACGUCAGACAUUUAUGGGAACUCGUACCGACGGCUGUGGAUUACUGUUUCAGUGGGGCUUUUCAUCGGACGGCUGGGGAUUGACAUAAUGGUAAUCUCGGUGUAGGGUUCGUGGGGCCGAUUAGGGUUUUGAGGAAAAGUGAGGUGGGACCCGGUGGAGUAAUAUCUGGUGAAAAGACCAUCCUAUUUGACCUUUAUUAAAUAUUUACCUCAUUUUGUUUAUUUCAUGUAUGGAAACUAGCCAAACAAUUUAUAGUUGGUUAUUAAAUUGGUUCAUAUAUAAAUAUUUACCUUGUUUAGUAUUUCUAUAUUGGUAUUAAAAUCGGAUAUAUACUAGUGAUGAGUUUGAAGUCGUUUUAAUAUAUUUUUUAUGACUGUUGAUUCUAUGUUUGACAAUCGUCAAAAUUAGAGGAAUUAAGAUAAAAUUUCGUCUAUUUUACUUUUAAACUUAAAUGUUACAAACAUAAAAUUUGGAUGUUUUAUAAUUUUACUUAUUGAUAUUUGAAUCUUUAAUCAUCAUCGAUUAUUUAUCUACUUACACUAAAUAAUUUAUCAAAUAUAAUUUAUAUUCAGGAUCAACUUAUUGACAAAUAAUAAUCAUCANNNNNNNNNNNNNNNNNNNNNNNNNNNNNNNNNNNNNNNNNNNNNNNNNNNNNNNNNNNNNNNNNNNNNNNNNNNNNNNNNNNNNNNNNNNNNNNNNNNNNNNNNNNNNNNNNNNNNNNNNNNNNNNNNNNNNNNNNNNNNNNNNNNNNNNNNNNNNNNNNNNNNNNNNNNNNNNNNNNNNNNNNNNNNNNNNNNNNNNNNNNNNNNNNNNNNNNNNNNNNNNNNNNNNNNNNNNNNNNNNNNNNNCUUAGACCUUAUUUAGUUUGUGUACUGUUUGUUUCGUGUUUUGAAAACCAUGUCUUUUAAGGUUUGUUUGUUUGUUUUAUUGGGCUUAUGUUGGAACUUGUUGGAAGACUAGUCAAAUGGUCAAUGCAUCUGUACGAUUGGACUCGUCAAUGCAAAGCUGUCCUUGGGAUGGAUGAACAGUGAAAUAAAAAUUACGUGUAGAUAAUUAUUCUGAAANNNNNNNNNNNNNNNNNNNNNNNNNNNNNNNNNNNNNNNNNNNNNNNNNNNNNNNNNNNNAAAUUAGGUUCUUUUUCGUGAUAGGAUCGAAGAUAACUAGAUAUGCCAUUGCCAAAUACUAUUAGCACUGUCUACCAUGGGGAACAAACAAAAUUUAUGUAAUUAGUAAUUUGUAAAUUGUUAUAUAUUAUAUGAAACCAUUUAUAUCGGAGCCACUACCUUAAUCCUCAAAGACUAAUUAAAAAUCGAAAAAGUAUACCUCAAUUAUUAAAUUAGAAUCUUAGUCUUAAACAGAAACUUGAAUAACGNNNNNNNNNNNNNNNNNNNNNNNNNNNNNNNNNNNNNNNNNNNNNNNNNNNNNNNNNNNNNNNNNNNNNNNNNNNNNNNNNNNNNNNNNNNNNNNNNNNNNNNNNNNNNNNNNNNNNNNNNNNNNNNNNNNNNNNNNNNNNNNNNNNNNNNNNNNNNNNNNNNNNNNNNNNNNNNNNNNNNNNNNNNNNNNNNNNNNNNNNNNNNNUAAAUCUACGUCUUACCAUAUUAUUAAUCUAAACUCAACUCAUCUAACCCAUAAACUUAACCCAACCACUUAAAAUAAACCAUCUCGUAUUUCCACUACAAUAAUGUGUAUGUGACAAUGAAUUUACAUAAUGAUCUCUCCAUUUAAUAAAGUUUGGUAAAAUGGACAUAUGAUUAAAAAUGUAAUAGUGUAAUGAUAUGUCCAUUGUCUACUUUUAAGUUGGAACUAUAUGAAUAUAAAGAAUUGAAACCCACAUAUAAUUUAUUUCAAAUUAUAGUAUUUCGAUUUUAUCAUGUUUUAGGAGUUAGAAAAUCUAUAUUGAUGAUAGAACCCUCACUACUAUUAUUUUUAGAGAUAUUAUAGGUUAGGAAUAUGAAUAAUUUUUAGAUUAUUUUCAUAGAUUAUGAUAUAACACAUUUAAUACUCAUUCUUACUUAUCCAAUCCGACCCGAUCCAACACAAAUCUGAGUGGGAGAACCCGCGGAAGCAUUAGCCGUGAAAUUUUACCGCUAACAAUUAAAUGUAAGAAAGUAAAAAAAUAAAUAGUGAAAAUAGAAGGGGAGUGCCACAGUCCACAUGGGGACGAGAAACGGAAAAAAUUGCCAGAAGUAGUUAAGAUAAUAGGAUGGAACAAAAGAAGGCCAGUUACGAAUUUGACCAUUUAUGUUUAUAAAAAUAACAAAUUUGACAAUUUCUUUUAUUAAUGAAUUAGUUUUUUUUAACCAUUUCUUUUUAUUAAUGAAUUGGUUUUUUAACAUUAAAGUGGCAAAAUGAAUUUAUAGCCAUGAUAUGAAUUUACAUUGAUUCAUUUGGGUUAUAUGGGCCCACUCUGUUUGUUACUAUUUGGUUGGACUUGAUCAUAAAUUCCAAGAUCCACCUACCUGGCCUCCCCCAUUCAUUGCUUUCUCAACAUAUCAAUUGUACAAUUUGAUCAUUUCACAUAUUCAAAAUAGCAAGUUACUCGUUUCGUCUGAGUUUUCUGGAUCGGCCCAUGUUUUGAUUUACGAUUAUCCAUCAUUCAUUUAGCGAUAGAGGCUAAGAUAAUUAUUCCCCUUCAACUACGAAACGAAUCACAUUGAGGUCGGCAUCAUGUCGUGAUGGCUACUACGUAUGGUUAGGUUGUAGCCUUGUAGGUAGGAUGUCCUGCUCCACCACUAUAAUGAUAAUUAUCUUUAGAUGAUAGCUACGAGGAUUAUGUGUUAUUGGGUUUUGGUUAAUUUGAAUAUUAUGUUGUAUCAAGUUUGGUUUGGGUGGGUGGAUUAGUCGGGCUUGAUAGCAUUUUAACUAUCUUUUUGAAUGGUUUUAGUAAAUAUAUUUUAAUUUAUGUAAUUCUAUACGGCUUUAGAAUUCUACUUAAUAUAAUCGAGUUAAACAUAUCAUAACAAGUAGCUUAACGAUCUAAUAGGUCCUAUGUCAAAUGAGUUAUGAAUUCGUCAUGUUAGGACUUUUAACAUCAGGUCACAUGGUGUUAACUUUGAUAAUUUUCAAUACAAAUUGGGUUUUUCUUCGAUUUAAGUGUUCAAGAUGUCGAUUUCGUUUGUCGCCGUUACACAUAGUAAACCAUUGUACUAUUGUAGGAGCAGAACAAUGAGCCAAAAGUAAAGAAUUGAGGAAGUAUAUCAUCAGUUAAAUUGAAUUGGGGAAGAACACAAGUCCAGAGAGCCUUCUCCAAUAAGCCUAUACAAACAAAUUAUCAGUCAGUAGCGGCAAUGGUGGACCGCAAAUGCUAGCUUAUAUGGACACUUUUCUUUUUAUUUCUUAACUCUUGUAUCAAGCCGGCUAAGAAAAAAAAUUACAAAAGCUAACAGAAAAUUAAUGGAACCCUCUUGACCCUCUCGAUUGAUAGAGCUCCAAUCUACUCUUGGCCUCCGGCAACACGUUCUGAAUCGUGACAUUCUCCACCAAGUGGGCUUGCUUCAUCGACCACUCAAGCACGAUCAACACUUCCUCGUUGGCGAGAACGUCGCUGUCGGGACAAUUCAUGGUGAUGUAACACAGGAGUAUAAGCGAAGGAGUUUGGAUCACCUGCUCCCCGAAGUAGACCAGUUGAAUCAAAUGCUUUGUCCCUCCUGCACUAAUCACGACUUUCGAAUGGUUCACGCAUAGGAAGUUCUCGGUGGACGCGAACUUGUUGAGCGCCACCGCUGCCUCCAUCAUCACGUCCAGGUCCUUCUCGUCCAACAGUUUCACUAACGGCCCGACCAUUCUAGUCUCGGUGGCCCGAAAUGUUCGUGCCAGGUUCCCGAUUGCGCGGAUGCAGGGUACCAUUAGGUCUGAUUCGCCUGCCUCGAUCACUUUGAGGAGUUGAUCCACCACUGCUUUUGCAGACGGGGAUGUGGGCUUGAACGCUGACCGUCGUAAGUCAGCGUGCUGCUCUGCCACCGUGGUUAUCUCCAUCAAUGCCAUCGAGGAGUAUGAUUGUACCUCUUCCUCGCCCUUUUCUAACAAGAUCGCAAAGCAGAGCAACGCUCGUGACUCUGUUAUGCUUCGACAUAUUAUAACGUUUCCUCUCGCGAGUUGCCACAAUGCCCUAGCCGCCAUGGCUUUCAUGUUGGCUUUAGUAGCGGGAUCCUCCUGCUCCCUCUUCUUGAUGCUCGUUCCAGAUAGUUGUACAUGGUUUUGACGUUGUCGUUUUCCUUUAGAAUUAUGACUAGGUUUACGAUGUUUUCCCUUUCCACUCCCUUUCCCAUCCCCAUUACCGUGGGUUCCAAGACUCUCACCCUUGUUAUGUCCCGAUUCCUGUCCUGAUUUCGUGGCUAUAGCCAUCUCAUGUCCAGGCUUGUUAUUGCCAUUGUUCGGUACUGGAUGAGUAUUGCCAAGAGUGGUCGUGACAACGUUAUGCAUUUGACUCGGGUUUUGAUUAUUCAUCGGGUGAGCAAUCUUCACAACAGUCAAAUCCUCUUCGGAUGGAUCUCCGAUUCUGUCGUUCAAAUCAUUGCUUGCGACCAAAACCGAAUGGAUCGACGCCUGCUUAUUCGAAAUCGUGUAUUUACUAUGCUCCUCAACCGUCUCAAACGCGAGAUGGCUAACCAAGAACCGAAUUAUAUUCCCCUGAGCAAAAUGAUCCUGACAUUUCGGAUGAUGAGCGGCCAACUCGGAAACCGCCCAAGCCACAACCGCCUGAACCUUCAUGUGACCUUCUUUGAGCAUUUUCGCAAAUACAUUGCAUACGCCGGCGUUAACAAUGGCUUCCACGCUGUCCGGGUCCCGACCCAGCAACCCAAUCGCCCUUGCAGCAUUCUCCUGACCUUCCUUCUUCCCGUCUUUAGCCAAUUUCAGCAAUGGAGGAACCCCUCCUUCUUCUAUUAUCAAUCUCCCGUACCUAUCAUUAUCCCUCGCUAACGAAACCAACGAAGCCGCCGCGUCGGAUCUCUCUUCGGAAGAUCCAGUGUAGAGAAUCGCUAUCUGUUCCCAAAUCAGACAGAGGAUUGGUUCAUUGGCUGCAAUCGGUGGAAGCCCCAAGUACUCAUCGUCGCAGUCAUCACCGGAGGCGGAUGCGGAGACGCGGAGGAGCCAGGAGACGUCGCCGAUCGAGUUUUCCAGCUGGAUAGUGAGCUUUCGGAAGGCGGCGGCAGGGAUGAUGUUGAAAAUCCGCUUCAUUAUGCCACUGGAUCGACAUUUUAUCACUAGGGUUAGAGCUUUGUCGAGGACCUGCUCAGUGUCGUCGAUGAUGCGGCGCGUGGGGCGCUCGUAAAGGUCGUUGCUCGCACGCGCCGCCUGACGGAGUAAGGUGGAGAGCUUCUCUGUUUUGGAUUUGAUCUCCUGGCAGUCUUGUUUGAAGGAUUGGGCCUCGUCGGCGGCCUUCGUGACGUGGUCCGCUAAUUGGAUAGGCCGCGCUAGGAUCUCCUUCACGAAGUCCGCCAUGGCCGGAAGCGGAGCGGAGCUCCGGUAGCUCCUUUAUUGUGGGAAAGGAUCAAAAUCGAUGAGGUUCUUUGUUUGUUAAAAGUUGUGGAUAAUGUUUUGCUUCCUCUCGUUUAGGUUGAUUAAUAAUGAAUUAUGUUGUGAUUUCUUUUUUCCUUCGUUUUACUUGACAGCGGCGGUGGUGGUGGAGGGGGUCUCACCACCGGCGAGUAGGGGGGGUUGGGGGAAUUGGAUGGAGAAAAGAGAAAGGAAAAUGGAAAUUAGGAAAAGAAAGAUUUUGUGGAAUUGUAAAGGCAGAACUGAUUUUGCUCCAAAAUUUACGAUUACAUUUCUAAAAUUUGUAACAGUUUAGCCUUAGGUUUAAAUUUAGGAGAUGUUAAUUUUUGCAAUAUUUUAACUGGGGUUAUAUUUAUAAAGAUAUCAAUAAGUGAUAUAAAUAAAUAUCAUAAACAGUACAACAACAACAACAAAAUUAUUGUACAAUUGGUUAACUAAUUGCACAACACUCAUUCAGUAAUCAAAUAAAACUCACCAUCUUGACUCCUGCACCUAACCAAAAACACAGAAAACAAACAAAAAGUUAUGUUAGUAGAUGUAAUAUCAGAGGAACAUAGAACAAUUCUACGAGUAAUAUAGCCCAGAGAAAGAUGCAAACUCAGGAAGACAAACCUUAAACACCCAAAAACUCUUGGAAAACGAAGGAGCAGAUAAAGGUCGAGCUUCCAUAGAAACGGUUUUGUUUCCAACCGCAUCGCAAAAUUUACAGUGUUGGUGCGGUGACGGAUAUCAUGCUAUCCGAAUCACCGUCAUCAUCAUCGACUCGCUUGUGUAAACUGACCUUAUUUUAUGUAUGAUAAUAUCUAGCUAAUUAAUAAUAAUUUAUUCUGCCACAAAAAUACAAAACAUCUGUUUUAACUAACUUACGGCAACAAACCGAAAGAACAUUUGAUUAGUUUGUUUGUUUAAUAAUAAUUGACGGUUAAAACCACAACCUGAUCAAAUAUAAUGAUGGUAUUUAAACUAACCCCGAACUAUGGUUAGUAUAUAUCGUAACUAUUAUUCACCCAUCCGAACCGUUGUCGAGCUUAAUGGGAGGUGAGAUGACGCACGCAAUUAAUAUUAUGACAUGGUCUGAUUUCAUAUGGGAGAUUACUAUGUAGAUUAUGUUUUGUAUAAUUAGUUAUACUAGUUAUCAAUAAAGUUCGUAUGCUGGUUAAAAAGAACUAAAUAGUUUAAGCUGAACCAACGAGCACCAAAGGGUCCAUAGCUCAGUGGUAGAGCAUUUGACUGCAGAUCAAGAGGUCACCGGUUCGAACCCGGUUGGGCCCUUUUUUUGAUUGCUUUACCGAUUUGUUCUGCCAAUACUCAAAGUGGGCCUGGCUUCUAUUUCAUUUUGGGCUUCCAGCGCCCCCAAUGGAAUGGGCCAUGGAGCUUUUGCUCGUUUGGGUUGAAGUCAUAACUCUAUUUGCAUUCGUCGAAAACGGAAAACUAUAGUUUCGGAGGGACUAAUAUAAUUACAUUUACAACGAGGAAAUCAUUCUCUUAAUCUCCGUAAUAAAAAUUACUUAUUCUGAUCAUGUUUUUCUCUUUAAUUACAUUAUUAUACGACCAAUUAUUCAUCAAACACUCUACAAACUCGGAAUUUUUUUAUUCUUUAUUUCUAAAAGUCUCUACCAGCACUGAUCGGUCUCCCAGUUCCUCCGGCCGCCGCCGGAACCGGACCCAGCACCAGGAUUGCAAUUCAUCGACAGCGACGACCCAAAUGGACGGCGGUACAGAUCCCGGUCGUAAUUCGCGCGCUUGUCCGGAUCUGACAGCGUGGAGUAAGCCGAAUUGAUCCUCUUGAACGCGUCCUCGCCGGAUGAAAUCAUCUCCUGUUUCCCGCCAACCGAAACGACGUCCGGGUGGCAAGUCCUCGCUAGCCGGCGGUACGCCGCCUUUAUAUCGCCUCCGGUGGCUGUGGUCGGAAUUCCCAGGACUUGGUAGAGUGACAAGGACGCCAUUAUCUAUAUAUAAUCUUAAAUCUUGUCAUGGAAUUGUUUGUUGUUGAUCUAUUUUUUGUUCUCGUUUGGUUUCUUUGGGUUAAGGUGUGUAGUGAGGUUUUUAUAGAGACAUUUAAAGAUGGUUUGGCAGGCUUUUUAAAAAACAAAAUAAUUAUUGGUUUGGAUAAUACUGUUCAAUAAUUCUAGGUUUAACAUGUGACUGAAGUGGGUAUUUACUGUUGGAAAUUUCCGAAUAUUUGAAUUAUGCACGUGAAUUUUUACCCUGGUAGUUGGAGUUUGUAACUGAAUUUCUGGAAUUAGAAUUUUUGUUUUUUUUUUAUAUUUAUCUCGUGCAUAAUUGAAUUAAUGGUUCGUGAAUCUUUGUAAUACAAUCAAUGUACGUUUUAAUUGUAUAAUAAUUUAUAUUAUAUCAUGAAGAUCAAUGUUGAUGUCAGUGGUUUUUCGUUCAAGGUGAAGGGGGCGGUGGGUUGGAUAGCUUGGGAUCAAG